CACAACACUUGCUUGAAGCAGGACUUCCAACAAUAACAUUAACAAGUCCUAAAACAUCAGCACAAACACCUAGCUUUAAUGUGUCACUAGGACAUUUUUGUGAUGUUGAAGGAGUAGGAGGUGUUGUUGAAGGUGUUGGAGGACAUGGUGUUGAUGAAGGUGGUGGAGGACUAGGCUUUGGCUUUGGCUUAGGCUUAGGUGAUGGAGUUGGUUUGCAUGAACCACAAGCAUGUGAAAAUGUUGAAUAAGCAAGGAGAGAAAACAAUAUAAUUAGGGCACUAAGCUUGUUGGAAGCCAUUGUUAAGAAAUGUACGCUAAUGCUUUUGUGUGUUUUGAUGUUGAAUCAUAGGAUGUGAAAGAAAGAGGAGAAUUGGACCAUUUUUAUAGACAAAAAAUUGUGAGGUUCAGUCAUAUGAAAAUCUGAUUGAGUGGAAGAGAGUGUGAUAUUGAUAACGUUCCAGUUGGUCUUUUUUGUAAUCUUGUGAAAUAAGGUUUCAUAUCUUUGUGGUUGUUGGAAACUAGGAAAUUCUACUAUCUAUGGUUAGUUGUAACUAUAAGCAGUAGAAUUUCCCUGGUUUUCAAUUGCUGUCUAAAGUAGAUAUUUUUUAUCCUAGUUUAUUAAGUGGCUUUCAAAUAUUCAUAUCGUUUUAAGCGGUUUUAAGACUAGUUUUUCUUAAAGAAGUUAAACUAAUUCAUUCAAAUUAAAAUCGAGAAAAAUCAAAUAUGGGACAUUAAAGACUAGUUAAAUAUGACAUUAUAGAUAAAUUAAUAAAGAUUAGAUAUUAGCUAGUUAAGUUGAUAAAUUAAUAUUAUUUUAAGGUUUUGUCAUUGAAAUGUUAUUAAAAAAAGUCAUUUCGAACAUGCUACAUGAACUUUUGUUAAAAAUAAUGAAUUAAAAUUGGUACUAAAAUAUUUAGAGGACUAAAGUUUGAAAGAAAUUUUUAGAGGAAUCAAAAAUAUACAUAAGAUUUUUUUUAAUUACUUGACAUCUAAAAUGUCAUCAUUAAAAUAUUAUUAAUUAACCGUCUCGUAAAAAGUUUUAUAUUUGUUUUAAUUUGGGGGGAAAAGUGUUAUAAGAAAUUUUGUUUUCCGUAUCCAUAAAAAUGUGGCAUGUUUUCGUCUCUAUUAAAUUUUCUUGUACGGAUAGUCCUUGUUUCUAAGUCAAUGUUAAUUUUUGGAUGAAUUUUUUUUUUCAGACAUGUUUAGAACAUUAUAAAAUUAUUCCAAAAAAUAGAACAAAAAUUUAAAAGUGUAUGAAAAAUUCAUAUUUGAUUGAUCUCAUGUAAAAAAAAUUAUAAAUUUUUGUAAAUAAACUUUUAAUAAUCAUCUAAACUAGUUUCGAAAAAAUUCUACAAAAAUUUAAAUGUGUAUGAAAAAUUAAACAAGUUUGAAAAACAGCAAAGAAUAAAAUUGCUUGCAGAUUUUUUCUUGUAAGGAUGGUAACAUGCCACUUUUUUUUUUAAUGUGAGCUGAAAAAAUAAAAUUUGGUAAUUUGUUAGGGACAAAAAACUUAUAUGUAACCUCUAUAAAUUGUAUUAUUAUUUAAUUUUUUAUAUGCAUUUGCUUACUAUGAUAAUAAAUUAUUGAUUAAAUUGUUAAUAGAUAAAAAUAAGAUCAAAAAUAUCAAUAUUUUAUAAAAUAAUGGGAGAAGGAAGCUUUUAUUAAUUAAACACUAAUAACUAUUUUACAACGUCCACGUGAUCUUAGCUCAAUUGGUAAGAACAUUGCAUAAUUUAUGCAGAGCGUCAAGGUUCAAACCUCGGACACCCCAUUUUUCCAGAUUUAAAUAUGUGAGCUUCAGCCACUACUGAAAAAAAAAAAAAAAAACUAUUUCACAACUGUAAGGAUAUUUAAACUCUCUCCCUUGUGGUUAUCACUAAAGUGACGACACUCAUGAAAAAUCACAUAUUAUAUAAUGAAUUGAAUAUUAUUGAAUAAGACUAUUAUUAUCCUUUGAUUGUUUCUCAUCUAUUUCUUUGUUUUCUUUCCAAUUUGGAAGUAUUGAUUUUAUAGUGAAGAUUUGUUUUAGUCCAUAACAAAAACUUUAAGAUUUUUUUUUUUUUAAAUAGUCUAGAGACUAUAAUUCACUUUAAGAUGAAUAAGUUGAAUGUCUGACGUUUGAACUCCACCAACUGCAUAUUACAAUGAAUUGUUCACCUUUAAGACCUAAUUUAGUCCAUGAAAACUCGACUUUAUUAUUCAAGAAAAAUAAAUCAUGACAAAUUAAUCUCUUUCUCAACGACUUAGUUUUUACCUCUUUAACAUUGUGCUUGAAAGCAUAAAAUCCUAAGUGAAAAUAAAAGAAAACACAGUUUCUCUAAAUCAAUUCCCUCGUUAAAAAGUACACCCACCAUUUUAAAAUGAAUGUCGUUUAAAGUUUUUAUACACAUAUUAAGAAAUUCAUUAAUUAAAAAAUAAAUGUUAUUUUACCAAGUUAUCCUAAUCAAUUGUUGGUUUAUUUUUCAUUAAAAAAAAUAAUACUUUGGAAGUAGUGUAUAGAAUAUUAAUUGAAUGUUACAAUUGAAAAGAAAAAAUUAUUAUUGUAUUGAAAACUGAAAGUCGUAUUCAUUUCAAAACAAUUUUUUUUGCUAAAACGACACUCAUUUUAAAACGGAUGGAGUAUUUGACCAAUGAUGAAUGAAAAAUGAUUGUGAAACUCGCAAUAAAAACUUUUUUUUUAAGCAGCAAAAAUUAUAUUAACACGCCUAAAAGGAUUGUGUGAAAUAUAGAUAAAAUUUGAGAAAUCUAUUACAUUUUUUCAAAGAGUACAUUUUUAGAAAAUGUUGAAUGAUUGUUUAUAAAUAAUUUAUUUUUAAUUUUAAGAAUAUCGUAAAUUGAAUUUGAAAAAUUUAUAUAAAUUAUUCAAAACUCUCUUUUAAUUCAAUUUUUUACUUCCCAAAUUAUGUGGGAUUUUCCAUUAAAAUCUAGAAGCAUUUUAAAGUUAGUUGUAAUCCUCUUUCAACCCCUAUUAUUAUUGAGGUUCGUUGGAGUGCAAUAUAGAUGAGGCAACCAAGGGUCAUAUUGAUUUGGUUUCCUAUGGUGGCAUUUUUUGUGACUAUAAAGGUAAUUUUAUUGGUGGUUUUGCCUUGAAUUUAGAACUUCUGCUCUCAAUGUUGAACUUACUGUUGUUAUGCUUUCUGUUGAGAUUGCUUAUGAUAGAGAUUGGUUUAAUACUUUAAUUUUUGGUUGGAUUGUUGUGACUCCAUGAUCACUGUUACGCCUUUGAUUACUUUUUGCUAGUGUCUUGGAAACUUCAGAUUAAAGUGGUUAAAAUGUUUGAAUCUUAUGAAAAAGUUUCGUUUUAGAGUUUCUCGCAUUUUCAAAGAGGGAAAUAAUUGUGCUGGGUCAAUUAUAUGUUUCAAAGUAAUGAAUUUAUUUGAUUGGACCUUCUCCUUAUUGUAUUAGGGAUGACUUGUUUUGUAAAAGGAUUGAGCUACAUUUCUUUAGAUUUCGUUGAUUGUUACUUGCAUUGCUCUAUUUUGUCCUUCCAAUUAGAUAAUACAUGACUGACCCUAUCACGUAUAUCGAUACAUAAUUUUGAGUUUAAAUAUCUUGAAAAAUAUAUUAAAAAAAAAAUAUGAAAAAUUUGAUAUUUUAAAAAUAUUUGUCAUGACGAAUCCAAUAACAUUUUAUAUUAUAUUAUUUAUCUUUUUAUAUUAGUAAAAAAAUACAGUCAAAAUAUGUUAGGUCAAUAAUCAACAUUGUCAAAUAGAUUAUCUAUUACGUGACGGGGGAGUAUCAUUUUAUCCCUUUGAAAUUUUCUGGCAUUGUUUUAACGAGGUAGAUGUUGUGACUCUAUUAUCUUAGAUAUUGGUCUAAUCUCCACGAAUUGUAUAUCCCAUGCUAUUUUAUUUUCCUCUUUAGUUGCACUAUAAUUUUCGCAUAAAAAAGUUUUUGUUAGUAAUGGCUAUAAUAUUAUGCUCAUAAUGGGAUUCUAAUCCUCGACUUCCUAAUCUAUCAUCCCCUUAACUCUCGUCUCCACCCCAACCAUCAAGCUAACCUUAUAUUCGAUAUAAAAUCUGUUCUGGACCGGUCAGAAGGCCAAUUCCAUUGUGACACGUGGAUUAGGCACCCACCGGACUAUGGCGCGUCGCUUUAGGGAGCACACCAAUAUCGGUGCACGUCACCUCACUAGAGCACGUCUCCGUGCAUUAGAUAUCAUAGACGUGUCUUUUAACUGUCUCCUAAUCAAGCGCUGCUGCAUAUCACGGAGGCAUAUAUUCUUACACACGUCUAUAUAAGGGUGAGUUAGCUUCAUCCUCAAGGUAUGAUUCAUUUUUUCCGCAUUUUUUACACACUCUUCCUCAGUUCCAAUACUGACUUGAGCGUUUCAAUACUAACGUGUCUGCAGACACCUUUCGUUCCUCCGCAAAGACUCGUCGUCACCCUUGCCUACAUCAGUCUCUUCACGGACAGAUCAAAAUCAAAUACAGAUUGACUAGUUCAAAGUUAAGGUUUCUUAAAGAAGAUGAAGAAAAAGUAGUAGAGAAACAAACAAAACUGGAAAAAGCUUGAGAAAUUACGUACAUACAUUUUGACAAGUUGCUGUUUUGGACAAUACAUUUUGACAAGUUGAUCGGGAUAUUUUGCAAGUUGUUUCCAGCCUAUAUACAUUCAAAUUAUAAUUAGAAACUGAGGUAUAGAGUUUGUCUUGUUUCAUGGCCACUACUAGGUUAUUAACAUGAAUUAUUGAAAUCCAUAGGUAAUUUUGUGAGUAACAUAUGCACAGCACACAUGCCUAAAAUUAUUAUGUCGGCAAGGCUCCAAUAGCAGACCGUAGUCAAGGUCAGCAUAUCCUUUAGAAGGUGACAGAUCUUAAGAGUUGAUGUAAAUAUGAUUUGAUUACUAAAAUAAAAUUAAUCAACCACAGAUAAACUUGCAUAAGAUUGGCAGCAUCUCAAUUGAUAAGUUUUGUAAAACCGAAAGAGUAUUAUUUAAUCAAGAGGUUCAGGUUUAAACUUUAUGGACUAACGUAACCCAAUUGUCUACCUAACAAAAAAUUAAACUUGCUUUCCAUCAUUUCUAACCUAACUUACUUUCCUUCAUUUCUAACCUAAGUAAUAAUUUAUAUUUGUCAGGUAAGUAAAACUCAAAUGAUAAAAUGAUUGGAGUGUGGGUUUGAACUUGCAAUACCUUUUCUCGACAUUCUGUGUGAGAAUUUAUCCGCUAAAUCUUUGAAAAUAGAAUAAAAUAUAAUUUAUAUUUAAUUCAUUUCUUUUACUAGUAAAAUAAAAGUAAGAUCGUUUAGGAUAUUAUUUGCUAAUUAAUUUUUUUUGACAAUUUUGUGCUAAUGUUAAAACGGAAGUUUUUCAUCCUCGUGAGCUUAGCUCAGUUGGUAUGGACAAUGCAUAAAAUAUGUAAGGUUCGGGGUUCGAACCCCGACCACAACAAAAAAUAAACGGAAUUUUUCCAAUUACAUAUUAUUACAAAUAUAAGUUAUUUUUUGAAAAAUAUAUAGUGCUUUUUUAGUUAAGAAAAAAUACUACUCAAACAUUAAAAUAACUUGAAACUAUUGUUUUUGUUUUCUAUAAAUGCACUCUCAAGCUCUCUUAUGUUAAAGUGUUAUGCUAACAAGUGACCUAAGAAAUUUACAAAAAGAAUUUUCUAUUGGAAACACAAGUUAGAGUAGUAUCAAAUUAAUAAUUACAUUAUUAUACUAAAAUUAUCUUUUUUUUAGUUGUUUAAAUAAUGUGCUAAGAACAUAUAUUAACAUUUUUCGUCUCCAUUAUUACAACAUAUUGAUUUGGUCGUGAAAACAUUUUAUGUGAAAUACCGACUUCAAACUCGGAUCACAACAUUUCCCCUUUAAAAUAAAGAGAACUGACAAAAGCUUGGUAUCCAAGUGUUUCUCAAGGGACUCUAAAAAUACGUUAGUAUGCAUGUUAAAAUUUCUCUUUCAAUGAAUUCUCUGUAUAUAUUAGGCCAUUUCUGUUUCUAAAAAUAUCAUGUCAUUUAACAAGACAAGAAACUAAUGUUAUAAGCUAAAAGUCAAAGAUAGAAACUUUAAAUUUAAGCGUAAAAUUCAACAUUUGUGUGGUAAAGGAUAAGCUGAUGUGAAAGCAUAUAUCAGAGGUUAAUGAGGUUUCACAAACUCCCCGUAUGAAUGGAUUCAGUUAAAAUGAGUAUAGAUAGUUGACACGAAAACGCUGAUUUGUGUUCUAAAAGCAUUAUUUAAUAACUCUAGUAAAAAAAUUAUGAAACAUUGUAAUAUAUCAAGAUAUGUUUGUACUUUGCAGUUGCGAGGUGAUAAUUUAUUUUGUGUGUUUCAUAAAAUAUCAGAUGAAUAGUCAAUAUUAAAUGAAAGUAAAAACUUUGUAUUUAUUAAUUACUUAUUCUUAUUUAUAAUAAGAAACAGUAAUUAAUAAUUAGCAAUCUUUAAUUUGCUAAUAUUUGGGAAAUGUUAACUUGUGUCCUUAGGGCAUAUGUUAAGGAUUCCAUUAAUAAAAAUUAUGUUUUUGAAAUUGCGUUAAUUUAUUUCUCAAAAAAUUUAAUAUUAAUUUUUUUCAAAUAAUAUUUACCAUUAGUGGCAAGAAUUUAAUGUUUAACAUGGGCACAAGUUAACAUGACUCAUAUUUUACAUGGAUUAAAACUCAUUCCUAGCAUGCCGAAAAUCAUUAAUUUGCUGGAAGCUACUAGUUUUUGGCAUUUAUAUGAAUCACAUUUUUUUACGUUUGUGACAAAUUAGCUGAAAUGAUAUUCUAUAUGUUGCUUAGAAUAAUAAAUUAGUAACAUAGUACUAUUUAAUUUGUAGCGAUUGGAGUUUUUGACAUUGUCGUCAUAUGAUGUUGCUGUGAGAAUCAGUUAAUGAUUAUCAAUUUCACAAUAAUCACUAGAACUGAAACUAUACCGGAUGAUUGAAAACAAGCCAAAUUAGGGCAAUAUAGUAAUGUGUUAGUAAUUAGAAGCCAAUAACUGUUCAACCUCAUGUUAAUUCACAUUUUUAGGGUGAACUUAGUUUGUAUAGAUUAAAAUCACAACACCCACUAAUUUUUAUGGAGUAUUUCAGCAACAUGCUUUUUAGGGCGUGUUCAACAAUUUUUUAAUUAUUACUUGCUAAAAUACUCCUAAAAAAUAAGUUGAUAUAUACCAAAAAAAAAUUACUGAACAUUUAAGAGAUAUUGAAUUUAAGAUAUCUCUUUGUCUAAAGAAGCUGCAAACUUACCUAAAAAAUAAGUUGAUAUAUCCAAAUUCAAUAGCUCUUUGUCUAUAGAAGCUACUAACUUACCUCCACUUAACAUUUAAGAGAUAUUGAAUUUGAAUCUGAUUAAAACAAUUUUUAACCAAAUUUUACUUACCUAUGAGUCAAAUUUUAGAUUAUUGAUGUUCAUUUUCAAAGGUACACCUUCCUUAAAAAAGAAAUCAAAGGAACACCAGGGUUAAGGGGAAAAAAUACACCUUAGCCCCAACCUACAUGUUGGUAAACCCAAAUUAAUUGUAGUAAUAUACUAUAAUAUUUGAAGGGGGACACGAAUUAUAGAGUUUGCUAACAAAACUUGCAAUAAUUUUGAGAUGACGUUUGAUCGAAUUCUUAGUUGAAGUAGGGCUUGGAAGAGGCUCCACCCGUUCACGGAUAUGCAACUAUGUAUGUUCUUUUCUAAAAAAUCAAAUACAUAUAGCCAAAGUUCCAAUUCCUGCUUUUAUUCUAAAUUCCAACCUCCCAAUUUUGGUGCAUCUCACUAUCAAAUUAAUGACAUAUGUCGUAUAUCUAUAUGUACAAUAUGUCGUGUGUAAGUGUCAAGGACAACUUUAUGCUUGUGGUUAAAACAUAAAAUAGAAGGUCAGAUUAGGGCUAGUUCUAAUAGGAUGGAAAGCGGUUCAGAGUGAGGGUGGUUAAGAGAAUUUGUGGUGGCUAAGAGUGCAACAUUCAUUGGGAGGCUUUGUAAUUUUCUGAGGGUUUUGUCCUACUAUAUAUUUUGCAUAAGAGACCUACUAUUGGCAUAAGAACAGAAAACCACCCAAUGGACCUGCUUUAAUAAAGGUUUUAGGUUUUUUCCUAGUUUGCUUGAAAAUGAAUUUCAAAUUUUAUCAAAUAGUUAUAUAAUAUGUGGAUUCUGCCUACAAGUCGAAUGGUUAAGCAGAAUAAAUAGAUAUAUUAUGAAAAUUAAAAAUAUAAAAAGAAAAUGAAUCUAAAAUACUCUUUUUGAUCCGUAUAAAUGAGAGAAAGUUGGAUCAACAAAAGAAGUUGAUAUAUGUGGUUCAAAAUUUAGUUCAGCUACAUCCCUUUUUUUUUAAAGAAGCUCAGAUACAUCCCUUUUUGUUGACCUGACUUUUUCUUAUAUAUAAGAUUAAAGGGAGUAUAUUUUCCGAACAAAUAUUUUUGACUAAGACCUGUACUCAACAAAACCUUUUCCGACUUCAAAUUAUUUAAGAAGUCGAAGGAUCGAUCUAUGUGUUUUGUGAGCUAGUCUAGGAGUGGUGUGGAUGACUAGCUCACAAAAUGAUGUUAUCUUCUCUGCCAAACUUGUGUUGUUCAGAUAAAAAAUGUUUAAGUGUUGAUGAAUACAUAUGUUGAGCUCGUCAUAGAUGAUAUGUCCACAUAGAAUAUAUAUUGGCCAACUAUGAUUAAGGGUUGCAUAAUGAUUUACUAAGUCAUGUGAACAAUGCCAAAAGCAUGGACACGUUCAAAAUGUACAUGCAAGUGAGCUACAUGCAAUAACAAAAGAUGUGUGUUAUUUUAACAACCAUUUAGACAUUGUAUUUGAUAGGUCUAACUCACCGAAAUUCAUCUAACAGUGUCAUAUAGGUAUUUUAGUUGGUAUGGAUUAUUUCACCAAAUGCAUAGAAGUUAUUCCAUUAAGAGAUGUUGCACAUCAAGAUGUUAUUGAUUUCGUAGAAAAUCAUAUUAUGUGUAGAUUUGAAAUUCCCAAAAUAAUAUUGUGAGAGUUAACUUAAAAUCAGAAUUCUGGAGAAUCGUGCCACGAUGGAGAAGUUUCGUGCCACGAUUGUUGAAGCAAAAUUCUGGAGCACUCACUGAAAAAUCGUGCCACGAUGGUGCGAUUGAAGAUAAAAAUAAAACGUAUUUUUAUUGAAGAUUUGUUUCAGUUUUUUAAGGGAUCUUUCACUAUAAAUAUAGACCUUGUAUCAGAGCAAACUUUGAGAUAGAGGAGGCUGAAACAAGGGUUUAGAAAGACAACAACAAAACUAGGGUUUGUAUAGAGUUUGUCUCUUUGGAACAAACACUAGGUUUUGAGGGUUGAUUCACCUUGGGAAACACUAUUAGGAUUGAGUCUCUUGGUUACGGGAAGAGGCUGGGACUUUGGGUAGAAUUAGGAUGGAGACUUAUUCUUGUAACCCAUUGAUUUCUCUUUUGUAACGUUACUCAUCAUAUAGUGGAUCGGAGGGCUGCUCUCUCCCUCAGACUAGGUCAAUUUGGACCGAACUGAGUCAAUAAAUUAUUUUGUGUUUUUCUCUUCAUUGUGUUUUCUCUCGCUGUUGUUUUCUACUUUUGGCUUGUAUUUAAUUGUUCCAUACACUUUGAUUUUGGUUGCUUGAUUAUCCCUUGCUUCACACAUCAAGUUGUUAUUGGUGUGGUUUUCAUCGAAUUCGCAACAAUUGUCAUGUAAAAUUCGUGUACUCAUUUACCCUUUUAUAUUUUUUUUUACCAAGUUAUAUUAUGAAGUUUCCACCGUUGUUUAACGGUUAGUGAUCUUUGUUUAACAAUUGAUGGAACACACAAUGAGUACAAGAAUAGAAGUUGUGAGGGAGAGUUUUUUUGUAUUGUACCACAUGUGCCGAGAGGUAGUUUGCAUUAAAGAGAAAUCAGAUUGGAAAAAACUAAGAAGAACCGUACAAAGUAGUUGUUCUGGGUGUUUGAGAUAUGUGAUCAGAGACAAGCCGAAACUACAACUUUAAGUAAUUGGAUAUCAAGAAUCUCAACAUUUAGAUAUGAAAAGAGAAGGGAAACAAGAAUUAGGUUUGACAUAAAAAGUGAUAAAUGUCGGACAGAGUUCUUUGAGACAAGCCAUGUGAAGAGAGACUUCAUGACAUAAAUCCAAUCCCUUAAGGUUUAACCGAACAAAUAUUAUUAUCCAAUCCUUUCAGACAGUAUGCAACAGCAACAAAAAAAAAAAAACUAUUUUUUAAUAGAUUCAUUUACAAGCAUUCACUCUAAAUUGUUAAAAACAAAAUUAAAACAUAUGUUUACAAAGAAAUAAUUAUUUUUUUUUUGAGAGGUCAAAGAAAUAAUUAUUAUGGUUAGAAAUACUACAUAUAAAAAAGGACAAUGGAAUAAAUAAUCAAAAAUAAUCAACGUAUAAUAAGCUCCAAGAAACCAUUUUUUUUAUUGUACAAGGCCUAUUAAAUGAUUUAUCAUAUAUAGUCGUUUUCUUAAUCAAACUAUGUUCCAGUUGAUCCAUUUUGAGCCCCAUUUUUUUUCUUACACUAUCAAACUGUUUAGGAUAUUUUCCUCAUCUUCUCCUCAAAAGGUGUUACUUCAAUUUUCUUCCAGAUAUUUUCAUUCAUAAUAUUUUACAUCACUCAUCCACUUAAUUCAGCUUUUUUUUUUAUCAUAGUUAUGCUUAUUUUUCCAAUCAGUCAGUACUUCACUGCCAGAUAUCGUUGAUAUAUUGAUCUUAUAGUUAUCUAAUAGAAUCGUUUAUGAGUUUGAUAGUGUAACUUGUGACUAGAAAAUAUGAUCUGAAAUUAUUAAAUUGUACAACUUGUGUUGUGAUGUAGUAAUCCACUUUUUCACCUUUGAUGCGUCCCUAACUCAUGUCUUACUAUACUCAUAUUAUAUACUAUUUCUUGCUCCCACUCAAAUUAUCAAUUGAAAAACUGUUAAUACAAAAGCUCCUUGAUAAAAUUGUUUAGAAUUAGUCAUUUUAUUAAUUAUAUCAUGCACAAAAAGUAUGUAUUGAGGCUCAAACUCUUGGAUGUGCACAAUAAGUUCAUGCAAUGCAAUACUAAGGUAAAUAAAUAAUUCCUCCAGUCUUUAUUAUACUCCCUCUCCGUCCCAAAUUGUACGACGUUUUGGGCAUUUCACACAUAUUAAGAAAUACAAUUAAUAUUGUGUGGAAAAAAGAUAUUAUGAGAUGUUUUACAAAAUGAUCCUUAAUAAAUAAUAUGAGAAAGAUAAAUUAAAGAAUUGAAAGAAGAGGGAGUAAUAAAUAGUUAAGGUUAUAAUAGGAAAAAUAACAUUAAUGUUGCAUUGAUAUUGUUAAUCGACAUAUAAUUUAAGACAAAUUUUUUACCCUAAAACGACAUACAAUUUGGGACGGAGGGAGUAAUAAGAAAAACAAAAAAAACAUUAAAAGCAAUACAAUCAUUAGUUAAAAUAACUUUUUGAAUAUUUGUGCAAUUAUACCCUCAUAAAAAAAUUGUCAAGCAUUAAAUGCAUUCUCUAAUGUUUAAAAAACAAACAUUAAAUGAGGGGUAGAAAAAAAUUUUAAAUAAUAACUACACAGUUGUGAUAUUUUCUUAUAAAUAAGACCAAAAAAUAUUUUAAUUUUUUUUUUAUAUAUAAGAUCGGAGGAAGUACAAACUCAGUCGAUCAAUGAUGCAAACAUGUGGUUAUAGGAAAUACUCUACUACGCUUGCAUUAGUUUGCACAAUAUAGUAGUUGUCCCAUUUUAUGUAUCCUUCAUCCCUUGAGUAGAUCACUACAAGAAUUCCCCAAUAUACUAACCAAUCCAAUAUUGCAUUAUUGAGGGAUUUAGACCCUCAGUAAUUACUGGCGGAAUAAACCUUCAAUAACAUCCAAAUAACCCUCAGUAUUGUUUCCUCAAAUCAUCCCCAACACUACUAAGGGAUUAUUCCGCCAGUAACAUUACUGACGCCAGUAUUACUGAGGGACAUCAAUCCCUCAGUAAUAUCCAUUACUGACAGAUUUUGUGCAUUAUUGAGGGCUUAUUUCCGCCAGUAAUAAGCAAAUUUCUUGUAGUGUGUAGUACAUUACAUACAAUUUUUUUUAUCAAACCAUGUGGUGAACUUUCGUUUCCUUAGGUUUGCAGUGCAGUAGUUGUAGGAAAAUGCUACCAAGUGUCCUGGAGCACUGGUUGAGGAAACAAAUAUAUUCCAUCCGUUUUAAAAUAAGUGUUCUCUUUACUAUUUUUUUUUUUCUCAAAUUAAUUGUUCAUUUUACGAUAUCAAUACAAGAAUUUAUUAUUUUUUUCAAUACCAUACUCUUAUUUAUUGGGUCCUAACGCUUUUUCCAUAUGCAUUUUUAUAAUAAGAGUAAGCAGUCUCAACGCUUUUCCCAUCACACUCUUAUUUAUAUUAAUCACUUUUAAUAGCAUAAAAUAUGGACAAAUUCUAUGGUACAUCUAAAAAUUUGGAUAUAUUGGUACACUAAAUCAAUAAAUUAAUAGUUAAAUGUGUUAUUUUUUGAAGAGAAAAAUUGUUUUAUAUCACCUAUAAUUAUAAUAAUUAAAUUUUGCUUGUUCAAAAAAAAAAAUUAAAUUUUAUUUACCAAAAUCGUCGAAGAAAUAAAAUUUAAUUUUUCUGAAUUUUUAGUACUCAUAAUAGAGAAUUUUGAUUAUUUUUUACGAUAAAAUGUAAAAAAAAAAUUAGUAUGAUUUUUAUGAAUAAUAAAAUGAUGUUUUUCUUAUAAAAUAAAAUUUUCUAAAAUAUAAAUAUCAACAAAUAGUUCUUUAUUCCAUAAAAAUAAUUGUUAAUUUAAAUUUUUUUAAAGUGGGAGUACCGUACCGAUACACCUUAAUUUGCAGGUGUACCGUAGAAGUUCCCUAAAAUAUGCAUUAUGGAGAAGUGUUGGGACUACUUUAGGCACUCAAAUGGGUGACCUAAAUUUAGGACCCGUUGACUUUAAACUUACUCCCAAAAGGUGGUAGACGGUUUUCCUUCUAGAUUUAAAUCAAGAUUGUACAACUCUGUUAAUACAAUCAUGAGCUAUAAACUAAAAUUCCUUCUUGUCCUUUCCUCCCUCCAAUUUUUCACAUAGCAUAAUUAAAAUUUGAAUUUGGAAUUUCUACAAUUUUCCACAGAGAAAAAACAAUUAAACACUUUAUCUGUGUCUUUUCAUUUGCAGCAUGAGUACAGUUUUUUCAUAUCCUCACUAUGAUCCAGAGUUUGAUGCUCACUCUGAAAGGAUAUAUAUGGUCCACCGUAAGUAUAUAAUUCUUCUGUACUCUUCAAAUUAAAUUUCCUGAAUGGGUUUCUCUCCCAUUAAUUUGAUUAUUCGAUAACACACACAUGCUAAUGUUGUUAUGUUUUGUAGUUGUCAGGUUUGCAUAGACAAUGAAAGCAAAGAAGAUUGCACGGUUGUUAAGGUACACACUUGACCAUGACAUUUUUUUAUGAAAAAAAUGUACCUAUUAAUAUAAGGACCAUAUUUUUGUAAAAUUGAUAUUUCAGGUGGAUAGUGUUAACAAGCAUGGUGGUGUCCUACUAGAUAUGUUACAUGUUUUGACAGACAUGAACUUUCAAAUCAUCAAAAGUUAUAUUUCAUCGGAUGCUAAUUAGUGAUUGGUGCAUGGACGGUGUGUUUUAUUAAAUAUCUUAGUAGAAUGUUGAGUUGAGUGCAAGGAUCAUUCUAGGCUCAUGUUUGAUAUUGUUUGUACCUUGACAGACAUGUAGUAUGAUAUUUACCGUUCUUUCACCAACUAUGAUGUAGGGUAUGUAAUUCAGGCAGUGGUGGAGCCAGACAAAAAAGUUUGGGGGUGGUCGUCAUUAAAAUAAACUAAAAUGUAGGAAUCAUGUUGCAUACAACGAAUUUAAGUUGUAAUAAAUUUUGGUCUUCUUCUUGAAAACGAAUCGAUUUUUCAACUCUUCAUCUUAACUUUUAUGUUGCAAAGAAGAAAAUUUAUCAAUUUCAACCAGUUUUAAUUUCACUUUAACAAUGUGUAAUGAACAAGAAUUGGCAAAGGAAUCAAUAUUUCAAGGUAUAAAAAAAAUAUUUUAAAUGGGGGUGCCAGAGCCUAUUGUGUAGUCAGUUUAAUAGGAUACCUCAACCAUUGAAUUAAGAUUCAACGGUUCAUAUUUCACCUUCACCUCUGAAUUGAAAUACAACUCAAAAUAUAAUCCAAUGAUUGAAGUGACUACAUGUAUUUUGAUUGCAAUCCAAGUUAUGAACAUUAUGGAUAUAUUAUAUAUAUAACACAUUUAUUUUUUUAUCUUAUAUUUGCAAGAAAUUGAUUUCAAGAUUCUAGUAGUCAAUGAUAUUUUUUACAUCAUUUUAAUUUAGUAUUUUAAUUUAGUGUACUCGUUUGAAAAUGUUAAGAAUAAUGAUAGUUAGUAUAGUUUUGAGUAAUUAGCUUAUUCUUGUUCUCAUUCAAACCUUUAUGACUUUUUUCACUCUAUUUCUCCUAAUCCUCAAAAUCUAAACAUGGUACACAAUAUUGUCAAUGUUCCCAAGUUUUAAAAUUAAGUGACCGUGUAAGAUUCAAAAUAUUAUAUAUUUGGUACAUUAUCUAUGACCUAACUAAUUAGUUUGUGUUGAUGGGUUAACAGGAGUAUUUCAUCAGGCACAUAAAUGGAUAUGCUUUGAAUACAACAAGUGAGAAGGAACAAUUAAUAAAAUUCAUUGAGGCAGCUAUAGAACGCAGGGUUUGUGAAGUGAAUCAUUGACUUUAAAGUUUAAACACUCAAUCAUUUACACUAAUUUUUUUUAUUCAAAAUCUUUAACGCUAAUACAGAACCAAAAUAAUUAAUGGCCAAAAUUAUAGAUAGAAAAUUGUUGAAUCCUCUACAGUCAGUUUUAUGGUACAACAGACUAUAGAGGAUCCAAUUUGUGAGUUCGAUCUCUAGUUCCAUUUUAUUUUUUUAAUAAAUUUAGUGAUGAUAGAAUUAAAAACUUUUUUUUUCUGAUUUGAAUUGUUAAUUUAAGUUUUUACCUAGAGGUUUUUGUUGAUGUGUCGUGUGUGUUAGAAGUCUCAUAUUAGAUGGAGGACUAGAUAUUAAACAUUAUAUAAGUGAGAUUAUGUCUUAAGUUUUUGAUGAAGAUGUAGUUUCCAAACUUAUUUGUGUGAUUAUUCUUUGAUCAAUGUGAUGAUCCGCUCAAGUUUUAAGGCACCCUGGGAAGUUCCAACAAUAAUACCAAAGUGUGGUUUGACUUGGUGGGAAAGUGAGAAUGGUUUUUGGUGUUUGAUCAAGGAUGUGAAGAGUCUCGUUAUAAGUUAUAAGUCUCACAUUGAAUAAAAGAAUGGAUGUUGAGCGAUAUAUCUGUGAGAGAACUCUAUAUUGUUGAGUAUUGCUCAUAUAUACGCAAAAAAGGGGCAAGGGGUGGAGAAGGAGUUGAACUAGGGUAGUGUUGCGAAGCUCCCUCCAUUUAUCGUAAACUGGACUGUAAUAUUGUAUAUAUUAGUUAAUUCAUCACAGAAAUAAACAUAACUUUAACUGCUUUAUAGUCCCAAAGGUAUGCACUAUUUUCCGAACUACGAGAACAAAGAUUGUGUCUCAUUGUCUUUUGAUUUUUAUUUCUUUUCUACUUUUAUACUAGUCGCUUCUUUAUAUCCUAAUGUCCAAAGUUAUGGGUGAAGAUGUGACAUCCUAACUCACUUGUAUGAUUUUUUUUUUUUUUGUCCAAGGUAAUAAUCGGCAGGCUCCCUUGAAAAUUUCAAACAGUUUCUAACCAUUAAAUUGGUCUUUAUUUUGGAAACUUUGUUUAUAUUAUUUUAUUUUUUCUUGUUUCUAACAUGCAGAGUGUUAAACUAGAGUUGAGUGCAGACAACAGUGUUGGUUUCCUCUCUGACAUAUCACGAGUCCUCAGAGAAAAUAGUCUUGUUAUUGUACGAGCAUUCAUAAACUUGUUCUCUAGUUUAGUCUUUUGGAGAAAUUUCAUUCUCAUGGUCUCAAUCAAUGGACUUAGAUAAACAUAUAUGUCGUAUCUUGGUUGUCUUAGACCCAAAAUCAUCAUAGAUAACAUAAUGUAUUUGCAUAUAUUGGGAGAAUGGGCCAUGAACUAUGUUACUAUUAAAUUUGCAUAUAUCGAUUUAUUCAAUAUGUAGCAAAUUCAAGCAUAUGGUUUCUUGACUUAGUCCCAAAAUCCAUAUACAAUUCAUGAAGUUUUUUCCAUUGUAAAGAAUUAGUCAGAUGACGAAGUUGACCGUCACAUUUUCUCUCAUCUUCAUGUCAUUUAAUAUUGUUUGUAUCAUUUACAUCGAUGGACAAUCGUAUUCCUCAAAAUAUAACGGAUCAACAUUCAAACAUUUAACACGAGAAUGGAGAGUUUUACAAAAACAUAUUGUAUAAAUUCAUCUACUUCUUUCUCAUAUGCUUCACUCAAACAUUUAGUAUUCAUUCAACUACAAUUUGUGAUUACUAAUAUACAUCUACAAAUUUUAAGUUAAAGGGUUAAUUAUAGUCAAACUUAGAGCAUCUCCAACACGGAUUUUAUCAUUGGUAUCAUUGGUUUUCAAAUACUAUGCUACUAUUUCAUACUUGUUUCCAUCGAAUCAUAUCUACUUGGAAAUAUGAGUUCUAUAAAAAAGUGAAGACCGAUAUAUUUAAGUUGUUGUUCCAUACGAAUAUAACAUUAAUUAUGCUUGCAAUUAACCAACAAGAGAAUUAAAUAAGCUAUUGUAAGAUAUGAGUUGCUUAAAUUUAAAUAUGCACGACUGAAGUAAAAAUAUUGUGGAUUGUAUUAAAGUGAUGUGGAAAAGUAGUACUCACUAAAUGAGAGAUAAAUAACCUAAGAUGGGUUACUUAAAUUAUAUACACCCUCCGAUCCUUUAUAUGUGACGUUUUUUGCCUUUUCACUACAACCAAGGCAGCUGAUAAAUAGCUCUCUCUUUCCUUGUCUACCCUUAUUUAAUCUAGUACUCCUUUUUCUAGAUACCAACCAUUUUGAUUGAAAACAAGUAUCCUUGGUAUCAGCUGUUCAUGUGAUAUAAAUGCAUCACGUUUUACAAUUGCUAUAGUGCUUGGGAAGCCUAAAAGACACAAGAAACUUUCAUUACUAAUCACGCUUUUUCUUUCAAAUUUUUAUUCUUUUGUUUCUGAAAUUUUGAAAGGAGUAACAAAUAAACUUUCCCUCCAACUUAAUUUUUGAUUUAAACUUCCCUCCAACUUUGUUAAUCAAAAUUUAUCCUUCCCACCAAAACAAAAUUAAAAUCACCAAUAGUUGAAAUAUAUAUAUAUAUAUGGCAGUUUGCAGAAUUUAAAACUCAUCAAAUAUGACUUCAAACAUUACAAAAUUUUCAUUGUGUGAUAUAGAUUUAAAUGUUGAAUUUACACCUUUGCCAGAUCUUAAUAUUGAUGCAGAAGAAAUAUUUUCUCAUGAAGAGGCUGAAGAGUUCAACAAUGAUAAUAUUGGUAUUGUAGUUGUUCAUUUAUGUGCAGUUAGCUUUGUCACCUUUGUAACACUACUAAUUGUUGUUUUCUUAUUCUUCUAGUAUUGUUUUUUUUCCAACAAUUAAAUUGUGGCUGAAGAGUUCCACCAUGUGCUUUGUCUUGUACUCCAUCACAUGAGCUAAAUGUCUUCCACUAUUUAUUCUCCAUACAUAUGUCAUUACGUGAAACAAUUGCGUAUGAAUGAGGAUAUGCCUUCAUCUAACAAUCACCAACACAUGCGCUUUAAUAUAGAUUUUUGAAACGAUUUAUUUUAUGUGUACAGAAAAAAAAAUAGGCUUAUUUCAUUAAGAAUUUUUUUCUUAAUAUUGUGUGUUAUAUUGAUUUAUAUUUUAGCAUCUCACCAUUUUAUUUUUCAUGCAAGGAGCAAUUCAAGAAAAUAUUGAAGUCACAUACCAUGAUUUGGACAAUGGCAUAGAUAUGAAUUUGGGAGACAACAUAGACCAUGAGUUGGACAAUGGUAAGUUAUUUUUCUUUAACUCAUUCAUUAAUAAUUUUUUCUUAAUAUUGUGUGUUGAACUAAUUUAUAUUUUAGCAUCUCACCAUUUUAGCAUCUUACCAUUUUAUUUUUAAUUCAAGGAUCAAUUCAAGAAAAUAUUGAAGUCACGGACCAUGAUUUGAACAAUAGCAUAGAUAUGAAUUUGGGAGACAACAUAGACCAUGAGUUGGACAAUGGUAAGUUAUUUUUCUUUAACUCAUUCAUUAAUAAUUUUUUCUUCAUUGUUGUUCAAAGAGUCUUUCAUUAUUUCUUCUUCUAUGUUGCCCAAUGAAUUUUCCACUCUUUUUUCUCCAUUGUUGUUCAAUGAUCCUUCCACUGUUUUCUCUUGUUUCAUGGAUUCUUUGGUUUGUUCCAUUACAUCUAUGGGUAGUUCCUUUUUCAUGGUUAGUGUACAUAUUUAAAGAGCCAAAAUUGUGGAUUUCCAAAUUCUUGGAACAAGCCGAGUGCUAUGGGUAGUACUCCUUGCAUUUAUUAGUAGAAAGCCUCGGUAAAAUAAUCUAACGGAUGAAUUGGAUUAGGCUAUAGUCAUUGACUAUGCAAUUAAUGUAUAAAAUGUGGCGAUUUAGAGGUUAAGGGUAUAAUAGACAUAUUACAACUUUAAACUCUAAAAGUGACACUUAUAUAGGAACAAAAUUUUUUCCCAAAAGUGACACUUAUAAAGGAACGGAGGGAGUAUAAUAUUGGAUUGGAUUGGCAGGGCCGGCCCAAAGCAAGAGCAUCCAGGCCCAUGGCUCAGGGCCUCCAAAUUUUGGGGGCCCAAAUUUUUUUUUUUUUUUAUGCAUAUAAGGCCAUAAAAUGUUACAUAUAUUUGUUUAGCGAAAAUUUUAGAAUUGUUGCGAUGGUCCAGUGGUUGAAAGAUAUGUGCGUGGGCUUCUCAUUCUCGAUUCUACUUCCAGGAAUUACUUUUUUAUUAUUAUGUUUUUGCAAUUAAGCAUAAUUGCAUAAGUGUGCCUCCCAGCAAAUUCUUGCAAUUAAAAUAAAUGAUAAUAUUUUUGAAUUUUUUGUGCAUUUUUUUAUUGGAGGGGCCAAUUUUUAAGAUUGCAUCAGGGCCUCCGGAUUGUUUAAGACGACCCUAUGGAUUAUGCUCUUAGUAUGACCUUCUACAAAAUUCUAAGACAACCCCUUUGCUUGCUGAUGGAUUAGCUGUUGAUGGGAAAGUAAGAAGUUAACAACAUAAUUUUCAAAUUCAUUGGACCAUCCACAAUGAAGCUCCUCUAUUUAGGUAUUUAAGUGAGUCUCACAUAUAAACAUCGUCUAUUUUAAAAUUUUUAAUGUAAGUACCUGUAAACACUCAAAAUUCGGAUGAGAUCUUCUAAAAAACCCAGAAAUUCAAAUGAAAUAAAUGCCUCAAAAAUUGAUCUUCCUUGUGAACCCAUAUGUUUUCUUCAAACCAAAAUCUUCUAAAAUAAAAAACUAAAUCUAAAGGUUGGUUUAUUUGCACAAUUCGUCAAACCGCAUCUUCAUUCAAAAAAUCAAAACUGAAACAAACUGAUUUCAAUUUGAUUUUAAUUUUGAGUUCGAUUAUGUGUUACAGAUUCGUGUGAAUGAGGAACAAGGAGGUUUUCGAUUCCAAUCUCCUCCAUCUUUGUGUUUCGAUUUAAGUUGGUGUUUUGAUAAAUUUUGGUGAUGAGAUGAUGAUGUUUGUUUUUUGUUUCUGGAAUCUUUUUUCUAGUUUGUUUGAGAGAAAAAAAUUAUGGGUUGUUUGUGAGUGAGUGAUGAAGAUGAUGUUGAAAGAGAAAAUGAAUCUUAAUGGAGAAAAUGAUGCAAAUUUAAAUCGAAGAGAAAAAAAAAAACACGUGUUGAUUUUAUCAAUUUGAUAAAUUCAUGUUUUUUUUUUUUUUGGUCUUACAUGUGUAUUUGGUUUUAAUGUUGUGUUUUAUUUGAUAUUUUAUUUUUAUAAUUCUAUGGUUUUUUCUAUGUGAUGAAGAUAUGAACAUCAUGAAUGAAGAAUUUGGGUUUUUUUUUUAUUUAUGAAAAAAAAAUUGGCCAUUGGAAUUUUUGAUGAAUGUAUGAAGAUGAUGAUGAAGAUGAGGAGGGAAGAAGAUGAAGAAAUGUUAAAAAAAAUAGAUGUUUGUGAUGCAAUGUUGGUCCACCUAAUACAUUUUGAGUUAAAGUUAACUGACAUGGAUCAAAUUGUCUGACGGAGCAUAUUUGAGGGACCAAACGGAAAUUUUUUAGAGUUAAGGGACCAAAUUGAAAACAACAAAUAAGUUAAAGGACCAUUUAUAAAAUUAAGCCUAUUUUUUAAAAGUACAUAAAGCAGCCCCCUAAAGUGUUGUUUCUGGCUCCCCCGAUGUCCUUCCUCAUUUCAAGUUGUCUCAAAACUUCAAAACCAUUUCUCAAAAUCCCAAACUCCCAAAACUCGUUUCCAAUAUUUCCUUUUCCACCAAAAACCACUUCCAAAACAUCAUAUUUCACAAGUUUCGAAAUCAUAAAAGUCCCAAUUUUCCUUCUCUGCAGGAGGACAUGGCGCCAUCGUUUCUGGGAAAGCUAUUUGAUGCAGCUGCUCCUUAAUAAGUAUCUUCGUAUUGUAAUCAGCAUUGUUAAACCGAAUCUGAAAAUAAAAAUAAAAAAAUGAAAUGAGAAUUUGUUUCGUCCAGAAGGGCCGAUUCGGACGUGUGAAAUACCAGCACAGAAUUACUAUUGAAUCAAACCUGAAUCGCUUCCAACUCUGGCAAAAUAGAUAUAUCUGAACAAUCUUCCUUUGGCACACCGUCAUCAUCAACCAACUCUUCAGAUUUUGGACCCUUCAUAGACUUGUUAUACCUUGAACGUGCAUUAUAAAUCUGCUUGAUAGUAAUCCCAUCGUCAGCUCUUCUUUUCUUCAAAGUCAUAAGAAUAUUUUUUGGACGGACAGUGUUAUUUGUCAUCUCAUGAACGAGUUUCAUCUCUUCCUCGUUUAAACGGCCUGCAAUAGGAUUAUCUUCUAAAUUUUCCAUCAUCUCAUGAUUGUGUUUUCCACACAUUACGGUAAGUUCCCAUACACCAGAGGACAAAAAAUAACCCCGCAAUCUGAAUGGACACUCACAUUUUUUGAAUCUUGUGUCUUGGCGAUUCGAGUGCUUCUUAUAUACACCACUCCUUUUGCAUUCAAGUAGAAGAGUUUGUGUUCCUCUAUUAUUUGACUUUGAAAUAACAAUACCAAACCCUAACUUGGUUGCUUCACCUCGAACCCAUUUCAGCAGGUCAUCUCGAGUAGUAAAUUCUUUAUCGGUGGCAAAGUGUUUAGCGAAAUCAAGAGACUCAUCGACUGGUUCAGCAAUGUCAGGCUUCAAAUCAGCAGAGGGAUCCUCCAUACCUGAAAUGGUAUCGUGUUCGUGAGAAAAAUAGGCUUAUACAGUAAGUACACAUUCUGAGUUGGCCCAUUUGGACCCUUUUUAAAAUGAAAAGAUUGGCUUAUUCAAACGAUACCAGUAAUACGUAAAAACAAAACGCAAAAGAAACAAUUAGAAGGAAAUUAGAGUCACGUUUCAUUUGCUUUCAAAUGAAAAUUGUGUAAAUAUAAUCAAUGGGAUUAUAGGAAUGAGUAAUGAAACACACAUUUUGUAAAAUAAGGGUUUUAUUUAGAGUGAUUUUAAAUAAGAGUUGAAGAUGACGGGUUUCAAAUAUAUCAUAUAUAUGCUUUCGAGUGUUUGACAUAAACUCAAAAAUAACAUAAACACUCAAAAUUUGGCUAACAAUAUUCCUGUUAUGACUACAAAGUUAAUUACAAGUCAUACGGCAUCAACUUUUCAACAGGCCCAACCGGAAGGUUUACUAAUAGACUAACAUCAAUUGACAUACUUGAUAACAUGAUGAAAUCCAUACUAAAAGAAGUUACGUAUCAAGGCUGCAUAUUCAUUUACCCAAUUGAGAAAAUUCACUAAAGAGAAAAUCAACUUUUUUCCUAAAUGCUGUUAAGAGGCAAAUUAAAAUUUGGCAAAUGCAACAACUAAAAACAUGUAAGAAAAACAAUUUACAUAAAAUAAAAAUGAUACAGUAAUAGUGACAAAAUAGCACUAUCGGGUUGAGUACUAAAAACCUGUGUUAAAGUUCUAUAAAAUAUUGCUUUUCUAAUAUCCUGCAUUUAUAAAAUUACAAAGCAAAUCCCAUUUUGCAUUUGUAAAAAUGAAGUUUAAAAAUACAAAGCAAAUAUGAUUCCACACUUAUAAAAAUGCAUAGUUCUCUCUCCAAAUACUUAGAAGAAAAAAAGAAUACAGUGUUCAAUGUGGCUCAAAAGUUCCUGGUGAUAUUUGAUCAGCGCGUCCUGGUGAAAUUUGAUCAGCGCGUUCAUGGAAUAUUGACACUUGAUGUCAUUUCCCUAGCUGUUCAGGCAAUGCAAGCAAAUUAACAUUAUCACCUUAACAAGCUGAUUGUAGUUAAUGAAUUUGUUGAUUUUUUUCAAGACUUUAUCUCUAUGCAUAAAAAACUUACACACUCGACUCCUAUGCCAAAAUAAGAGGAUCGAUCAGACUCGAAAACUAAAUAAUUUACCAGAACAUUCUUAAUUUCCUUGAACCAAAUUCAUGAACAGAAAAUGUUAUUGUCUUAUAAAUUAAAGACUUGUACUGGAACAAAAGAACAAGGCACAACCAAAUAUAACACAAGGAGCAUAACAUUCUGAACCAAUGUGGUUUUGGGUUUAAUUAGCAAGAAGAGUUAUUUUACACAUGCUUAAAGAACAAAUAUAAGAAGAGAGCUAAAUCUCAUCCACAAUCUACACUCUUUCAAUAUUCAUUCUACAAACUUAAUAAUAAAAACACAUGAAGUCUAAAACCAAGAAAAAUAUGAAUAAUAAGAUGCAACAAAAGCUAAAUAUCAGCCAGAAUCUACAUUCUUUCAAUAUUCAUCCAACAAACUUGAUAAUAAAAACACAGAUUCUGAAACAAAGAAUGAUAUGAAUAAUAAGAUACAACAAAACAAAAACCUUACCUUUUGCUAGGGUAGAACAAAGAAACAACAUAGAUGCAAGAAGGGAAAUGAAACCCAAAAUUUUAAGUUUUGCAAUUGCAAAUCUAAACACCAAAUUUGCGGAAAUAAAACAAAAUGAAAAACACGGAAAUGACAAGUGUAUUGUAUCUUAUUGGAAAGAACAACACAACAAAACAACGAAAUCAAAUAUCAAUAAGACAAAUCAAGAAAACAACAAUUCUACAUGUGAUGACGGUGAAGGACACAAGUGAUUGUUGAAAAAAUGAGAUUCAAGUCCAAGGAUUUCAGGUUUCACAGAUAUACAUGAAAGGGAUCAGAGUUAAAAACACCUUCUAAGUAGGUUAGUCAAAUAACCAACUCAAAAAAUGUUUCCACUAAUUUCAAAACUUUCACCAUACCACCUCAUUGUUUAAAGAAGCUUGUAGAAACCGGUUUAAAAGCCUGUGCUAAUAAUUAUGUUUUGCACUAGUAUACAUUUUUCUCUUCACACCAAUUAAUAUUCGACAAUGCCAAAAGUAAAUUACAUAAAAGUAAAUAAAAGUGCCAUGGAAAUUGAUUGUUCAUUUCAUCGUAUACCAGCUAGUGUUGAAUUUGUCUAAAAUUAAAUACUUUUACACAAAAAAGAACAAUUGAUCGGAGAGUGAGAGUACAACUACAGACGAAAGCAAUCUUCUGUAUUUUAAUAUAAAAACAAAACGAAAACUAGAAAGAAUAAUCUUAAAAUGGUUUUAUUUUACAAACUUAAAGAAUGCUGUCCUUCCUUUAAAAAAAAAAAAAAAGAAUGCUGGCCUAAAUUGGUUUGUAUUGCAUAUAAUUUGCAAUAGACAAAUAAGCUCAAUGAGGCUAAGCAUGGACUUGAAUUUCAAAACGAAAAUAUAUGAGAAUCACUCCAAACUCGGUAGCACCGACACGAUACCGACAAGUAUUAUUAAGUUCAAUUAAAUCAUUUUAAAAAUUUAGCAAUGUUGACAUGUAAGUGUCGUGUUUGGUGUCUGUCUAUGUGCUUCAUUCAUACAACUUUUGAAAUAUUUCACAAUUGAAGUACUAAGAUCAUGCAUGAUAUAUGAAUGUAAAACAAAUUGAAAAGUAAUUACAUAAUUACAUUGGAUAUGAAACUAGAUAAUGCAUAUAGUCAAAACCCUAACAUUUAGAUCUAGAAAAAUGGAAUAAGACAAAAACCCUAACAGCCGACAAGAAAAAACAAACAAGGUGUAAAUUUAGGUGAAACCAAACUGUGUUAGGGAUUUAGGUUUUAACAGAGACAAGGGAAAGGAAAGUGAAUUUUUACCUGAUAAGGGUUGACGGAGAAAAUGUUUGUGUCGAUCCGUCAUAGUCACGGAUAUGUUCUUCUUCCUCCUGCGUCGCGUCGCGUGUGCCGUCAGUAGAAGGAGGAUUGAGUGCGAUAGGGUUCGCUUAACUGAAUGAAUGAAGAGAGGAAAGGGAUUCGAGAUGAUGGGCUUCGCGCCUUAUGUUUUUGUUUUAUGUUUUUAGGCUAAAUUACAACAACAUCCUUUAAAUUUAGGGUGUAUUUGUUUCAAGUUUACUAAAUUUAUUUCUAGGAAUAACAUUCCUUAGAAUAUAAAUAUGGGAAUUUUAUUCCAGCGAAUUUAGGAAAAAUAUGUUUGGUUAACUUUAUAAUAUUUCUAGGAACCAUAAAAAUAGGGAUUAUAAUAGGUAAACUAUUUAUGAAUUUAUUCACAUCUCCAUGGGAACUUUAUUCCACCAUUUUCCUUGGGAAAUUUUUUCUAUUCCCAGGAACAUUUUAUACCCGGGAAUAAAAUUUAAUAAACUUGUAACAAACAUAGGCAUAUACAUUCCUAUUAUUUUAUUCCCGGGAAUCAACAAUUAUAACUUGAAACAAACACACCCUUAAGAUUGUAAUAGAUUAACAUUUAAGUUAUUUUAGUGACAAGUAAAUUUUUAAGUUUGAGAUUUAUAACAUAGGGUCUUGUUAACGACUGCAUUUGCGGUACUCUUUAAACAUUCUAAAAUAAGCAAUAAUUUUUUAAAAAAGUUAAAUGUUUCGAUUUCCAAUAUAUUGAUUAUACACUUUUUCAUAAAUAGUUACUGCUUAUAAGUGUCUCGGGAGCACUCGUUAACAUUUUUCUAUAACAUAUUAUUCAUAUAAAUUAUUUUGUUCACACGUAAGUCUUUUAAGUUUGAGAUUUGUAAUAGAUUGUUCAUUUAAGUUAUUUUGGUUACACAUAAAUCAUUUAAGUUUGUAAACAUUUUCGAUUUAGUCAUUCUACUACAUCAUCGUUUUUGUAAUGUUUGGUUAACAUAAUGACUAAAUUAAAAAUGUUUACAAAUUUAAAGGACUUAUGCGUGACAAAAAUAACUUAAAGAACAAAUAUGUUACAAACCUCAAACUUAAAGAACUUAUUUCAGUUAUGUGUGACCAAAAUAACUAAAAGAAUUAAUCUGUUACAAACCUUAAACCUAAGGAUCCCUAGGCUAAUUUAGCCAAAACGUUUACAGAUUUGGACUUAUAUGUGACCAAAAUAACUUAAAUGACCAAUCUGUCACAAACCUCAAACUUAAAGGACUUAUGUGUACCAAUUUAUUACAAACCUCAAACUUAAAGGAUCCUGGUGUAAUUUAGACUUUUUUUAUAUUGGUCACGUUAAAAUUUGCCUUAUUUCAGGGAAAUAAGUGGGGUGUCUUGAUUCGAACUUCGUUCCAGCAUAUAUAAAUAACUAGCGGAAAGACAACAUUCAAAUUUCCUCACUUUUUACCAUUUGUUUAUUGCAUUGAAAUUUUGAAAUUAUAAACAAUAUUUAAGGAUAUAAUUAGAAUUAUGGGUGUUUGUGGUGCGGAUUAGUUUGGUUUUAAGGAUAAAAGUCAUCUUAAUUGCGAAUAACAUGCAAUUUGGUUUAGAUUGGUUGAAUUUUCAAAUAAAAAUCAAAUGAUCAAUACAAGAGAGAAUGCCAACUUGUGAAUUGGUGUUAUGUAUGACAACCUUAACAAGGUUACGAGCAACCAUAUUAAUCUCUCUCCUAAAAAACUUGACAAAAGAGUUGUUAUAUUACAUGAUAAAUUACUACGACAUAUGCAUACAAUGGAACAUACCUAGGUUUAUCAUUGACUGACAAGUUAAAAGAGUCCACGACAUCCUUCAAAUUUAGAGAAAGAUAACUUGUUUGAACUCUAACCCACUUCCACUCGAUAAUUACCCAUAAGCCCGAAGACUCGUCCUCCUUAACAUUCAAAAUGUACCCUUAAACAUUUCAUACUCGUCCCUUAAUCAAGUCUCAAUUUCAACCUUAUUAUGUUGCUAAAAAAGGCAUGUUGAUAUCCCAUCCAAUGAGCAUGUGUGAGGUAGUGAUACUUGAGGCGGACGAGGGCGAAGAAUGGUCGCCAGUGCGCAAGGCAUGAUAAUAUGCACUCAUGGAAGCUUCUAGGAAAACCGAAUCACAUCGAAAUGAGAGGGGAUCCUGAGGUUGUGUAUGUAUGAGAUUGCAUGAUUAAAGGAAGGCUUGCAAGAAUUGUUUGGUACUAGCUAUACAAACAAGAUGCAUCUUCUUUUCGAUAGUCUAUUCAAUAAGAACUUCACUGUUAAACGUGCUUGACUUGGAGUAGUCUUUGGAUGGAUGACAUUCUGGGAAGUUUUCCAAAAAGCAUGCGAAUGAGGAUGAAGCACGCUGAAAAGACUCUUGUUUGUUUGUAAGGUCAGUCAUCAUUGCUUAAAGUCAUUUAGGAUGUUACAAGUGGUAUCAGAGCAAACCUCUCCCGGUACGAUGUGGUUCGGAGACAAACCAAGCAGAAGCUGGUGGGCAUGUAAUACCCGAGGCUGACGAGGACACGGUGCGUGGUCGCCGGUGCACAAGGCAUGACAAUGUGUGGCUCCUAGCAACUUCUAGGCAAAUCGAAUCACAUCGGAAUGAGAGGGAUCAUGAGGUUGUGCAGGUAUGGGACUGCAUGGUUGAAGGAUAACUCAUAAGAAUUGUUUGGUACUACCUAUACCAACAAGAUGCAUCUUCUUUUCGGUAGCUCAUUCAAUAAGAACUCCACAGUUAAGCGUGUUUGGCUUGGAGUAAUCUUUGGAUGAGUGACCCAUUUCUAAUACACCAGGUUUCAUGUGUUAUGUAUGUCGUGGGUUGGCAUGUCACCCUAUAUAUAGAUGAUGUUUAGGGUUUUAGGGUGUCGACCAAUUAUUAUAUUCCUCAUAUUUUACCUAUUUAGUUCGUCUCUUGAGCUGAAGGUGCAUGCAUUAUUAUAUGUAAGGGUCGGGUUCGAAUCUCAUACACCCUACUUAUUUAUCUUGAAAAAUAUAAAUUCUAACUACUAGACUACUUGAAGAAAAAAAAAAUUGUGACAAUCCAAUAUUGAAAUUUUAUGCUGACCUCUUUGUAAAUUUUUUAGAGCCAAAAUUGCUUAUUUGUCGGUUUAUUUGUCCACUCGUGUAUGUACUUAAUCUAUUUGUCAAAAAUAUUAAUUAACUGUUGUUUAAUUUUCAUUAUUUUAUAUUUUUUUAAUAAUAUUAUUUAUCUAUUUGACUCCUUUAAAAAGAAAAAAAAUCCUAUUUGACUCGAUUUGUGUAAAUUAUUUUUCAUCUAUAGAUGAAUAAGAACAAAGAAGAUGCAUAAACAUCGGCUCAAACAUUUAACGUUUUUUGUUAAAAAAACCAUUUUACGUUUGGAAGGGAAAAGAAAGCACUUGGUACUGUGUAUCAGAAUAUUCUAUAUACCUCAAAAUAAAUAAAUGAUUCAGUGUCUUUAUCCCAAAGCCAUUACUUCCAUUACCUGCCACUGGCCAUUGCCAGCAAUUUUUCAUUAUUCAUAUUUAGUUAGAAUUUGCUAAUUUGUUUAUAGUUGAUUUGUCAAUGCCCUAGUAGUGACCCAUUAACUAACAAGAAUUAAUGUAAAGGAAAACUUCACUCCUAUCUUUCCUUUGGUUUCUCCACUUUCGAAUGGGAUGUCAUCAUCAUUUGAUAAUAAUAAAUCAAACUCUCCCAAGUUGACACGAUAAGCUUGUUAAAUGCGUACUUAGGACGACAUUAUUAUGAUUUGAAUAUUAACAAAGCAACCUCUCCAAGGUUUAGUAUAUUAGUUAAAAAAAAUUACUAUCUUAGUUAGAUUCAAGAUUUUGAGUUCGACCUUAGCUAAUAUAUUUAGGAGGAGGUAAAUGAAUGUAUAUUCAAUUAUAAAUUUUGAAAGUCUUCUAUGCCAAGACUAUAUACGUUUUACCAUCACCCUAAGUUUCUUUGUAUUUUUUUUAACAAAGUAAAGUAACCUUGGUACCAAGAUUACGUCAUUUGUAUUUUUAUAAUAAUAUGAGAAUGAGUAUGUGAUAGAGAUGAGAGUAUGAAUGCUAUAGCUGUUUUAUUAAACAAAUAUUUUAUAUAAGAUUUUUUAAGAAGUGAAGAUUUCAAGAAAAUCAGUUUUGUUAUUAUUUUGAAAUGUAAUUUUGAGUAGGUUCUAAACACUAAUUAUGAGAAAUUGCGUGAAAUAGCUUCACAUUAUGAGUGUUUUUUCAAAAUUUUAUUAUUCAAAUAAAGUUGUAGUAAAAGAAUGAAUACUUAAAAUAACUUUUAAAAAAGCUAUUUAAAUCGAUUUCUCAUUUGAGAUCUUCUUUAGAAAAUUCUUUUUUAAAAAACUUAUAACAAAAAUAUGAUACACUUUAAAGAUCAUUUUAAAAAAAAAAUUUGUCACAUAAAGUAUGCAUGAGUGGUCUCUCAUGCAUGCAGAGAGUAUUUUUUUUGGUGGUCAAUGUUUAAACCUCAGACCUUAUGCAUUGUCCAUACCAACUGAGUUAAGCUCACGAGAACAUGUAUGUAGAGAGUAUGUGUGAGUGUUGUAAUCUUCCAAAUACUAAAUUUACUUGCUAACCGUGGAUUUAAAUUCAUUAAAAGAUAUCACCACAUAUAACUUCUACUACCUCUGUCCCUAAAUAUAGUAGCCUUUUGAAAAAUUACGGAGAUUAAGAAAGUUGGUUGUAGUAUUAAAUUUGUAUAUAAUUACUAUUGUUUUUAUAAUUUUAUCCUUAAGAGAGAGAGUUAAUUUAUGUUUUCAACAUAAUAUUUAUUGUUGAUUGAAGAAAAAAAUGCAAAAUAAAUAAGGGUACGUUGGUAAAGAAAUAAUUAAUGUACUUAGAAAUACCAAAGGGGUCUUAUAAAAAGGGACAUUUUUUUUUUCCAAAAGAGUCUUAUAAUUAGGGACGGAGAUAAUAUAUUUUUUUUUUUGAAGAACUUCUUUUUUUUUUUUUUAGUAAGUUCUCAUAAAAAUCAUUUUAAAAAUAUACUCAAAAUUACUUUUUUGAAUCUAUAUAGUAAACAAGCUCAUCAUUUAUCAUAUCAAAGGUAACUCACUCACAUUUUAUGUCAGACGGUAUUUCAAAAUACAUUAUCUUUUGUAAAAAUACAUGCAAGAAAUCUUCGUGUUGGAUACCCGUAUUAAAAUGAUAACACAUAUAUCAUUCAUCUUAGCUGAUAAAGUCACUCAAAUUUUAUGUUAACCUUAUUUCAAGUAAGAUUAUCCCUCAUAAAAAAUAUGUCAGGCCAGAGAUCUAAAAAAAAUACUCAAAUAAUCAAACUCACGUUACUAGGGUCAGCCUUAUGCAAGAGUAACAAGACCCUUUACACCGUAUUAAAAUGAUAACACAUAUAUCAUUCAUCCUAGCUGAUAAAGUCACUCAAAUUUUAUGCCUAACCUUAUUUCAAGUAAGAUUAUCCCUCAUGAAAAAUAUGCCAGGCCAGAAAUCUAAAAAAAUACUCAAAUAAUCCAACUCACGUUACUAGGGUCAGCCUUAUGCAAGAGUAACAGGACCCUUUACACGUGGUCUCAAACUUUGAGAGGUCUCAAAAUUUGAAAGAAAAAAACUUGUAUCUAUGAACAAAAUCCAUCACUAAAUAUUUUUUUUUCGCGUGCAAAAGUCUGAAAAACAACAAUGCAUAAUUGAUUUUCUUUACACUAGUUAAUUGAAUUUUAUUUUUGGAUUAAAUCUAAUUUUUUCAUUUUAAUUCAUAUAAAAAAUUUCUUGAUUUUAGUUUUAAAUGUUUUUCAUCACCAUUUUUGAUAUUUGCUUUUAAGUCAACUCAUAUGUAUUAUUUGAAAUUUUUAAUGAAUUUUUGAAAAAAUGUUUGAAGUGUUACAAGAUUCUCUCCAAAAAAAAAUAUUUUUUUUUAACAAGCAUAGAUUAAAUAAUAAAUUAAGCGCUAAAAACAUAAAAAUUUAUAUUUAAUUCAUUUUUUAUUAAAAAUAAAUAAAUUUUGCAAGAGCUUUUUUUUUUAAGGAAAAUUUUUCAAGAGCUAGUUAUAUAAUGUACUACUAAACAUGAUUGUGAAAAAAUUUAAAAUUUAAAAUGAUAAACGCGAGUUGACUUAAAUUUUUUAAACGAUAUACAUGAUUUGACUUAAAAACGGAUUAAAAGUGGCAAUAAUGUUUUUUAAGAGACUAAUAGUCGAACAUAAAUUUUAAUUUAAAGAAAUUAAAACAAAAAAUUAAAAUGUUUAUAAGGAUCAAAAUCAUAUUGAUCCUUUUAUUUUUUACGCACUAAUAAAAAAAUAGGAGGAAAAAUUGUUCCAAAAAAAAUAUAGGAGGGAAAAAGAAGAAGAACCUAUAAAAAAAAAAAGGAAAAGAAGAGGAUGAAAAUCAAUAGAAGAAAAAACUUUGAACAAGAGUAAGAGUAACGUUGAAAAUUAAUUACCAUACAGAAACAAUAAAUUUAUAUAUAUUUAAUAAAAAUAAAUUAACGUUUUCCCUCUAUUUUCUCUUUCUUCCAACUAUUUUCUCUACCUUUUCCGUUGUUGCAAGAUUCCUUCAACCUCUUGCAACAAUUUCAACAUCUUCAUCUUCUUCUCACACAUACAAGCUUCAAUUCUACCAAAAGUUGAAGCUUUUUCAUACAUGAUUUGGUUAAGAAUUUAGUAUAUUGAACGGUGAUUGAUUCUGGGAUCUGGCAGAAGCAGAAACGUGUGGAUCUCUGCAAAUUCUGCACUUUUUUCCAUCUGGGUAUUGUUGAUUUGGGUUUCUAAUGGGUAGUUUGAGAUACAAGGCAGGAUUGUUUCUUAUAGGUACUGUUGUUAUCAUUUGGGUCUCCUCUGCUGAAGUCACCCAGGUAAAUUUUUCAUCUUUUCUUAACCAUGAUGUAAAUUAUUUAAUUUUCUCCUAAGUUUGGUAUUAUUGCAUAAUUUGUAGUAGAUAGAUAAAUGUGAUUUUGUGUUUUUUUGUUAUAUUUUUUAGGCCCUUAAGUUUAGUACUAGUUCAAUUCCAUUUAAUGAUUAUGGAGCUUAAUUAUGUCAUAGUAUAUAGGACCUUAUUGUUAAUUUUACUACAAUCAUUUAGGAAGCUGAUGUAUUUGAGAGAUGGAUUUAGGUUGAUAUGGCUUUGCUUCAUGUGACUUGAUUUGGAAGCUUUCUAUACAUCAUAAGAUUCAAUCAAUUUUUUUUUUUUAAACUCGGUAUCCGGACUAAGGACUAACUAAUCUUGGGGACAAAUCCCACCGUCUAUUAGUAGGGACUCAAUCGAAAUUAGGGCAACGCUCUGUAUGGACUGGCCGUCUCACCCAACACAUAAAUUGUUGGCACUUGGGGGAUUUGCACCUGAGACCUAGAAAGGAGCACCCUCCUAGGUCCCAAGUAUUCACCUCGAGGCCAACCCAAACCCCGGGGGUUUCAAUCAUUUUCUUAUACAUACACUAUUUUAAAGUUUGUGUUUUUUCUAUAAAGGUCGUGUGAGAUCGAAAGCUCUGUUGGCUAAGAAUGAUUAGUUUACGAUAUAGCUAACCUUAUGACCCAAUGAGAUUGACUUAUUGGAAGCAUGCUUGGUCCACAAGUGGAGAGGAUGUGUAUAGGGAUACUUAAUAAUUGGAGGUCCUGGUUCGAUCCCAUGUAAACAAUAAGUUCUUUUGAGAGAGGUCUUACCCCUUUUGCUCUGUUAGUCUUGAACAGGAUUACCUUUGGUAGGAUGAUACCUGUGGAUUUGAUCCCCAAAAAUGCAGUCCUCAUUGCUUUAAUUUAAGGGAUUAUGUGAAUUGUAUUUAUAUGUAAUAUGUCAUUGCGGUGCUCCAUUGUUCCAGUUAUAUGUUGCAUAAGUCAAGUUAUGUCUUACGUAUGUGGACCAGAGGACACUGCGUUGUCUAAGCUUGAAGGUUUAUGUUUUCUAAGUUGAUAAGUUUGCUUCAAUUAGUAUAGAAUUUCAGUAUCUAAGUCCUCAUCUAAGCACGGUUGGAGAUUAAUUUGUUGAAAAUGCCAUUGCAAUUUGAAAUUCUGAUCAAGUGGUAUCUUUUAUUGGACACCAUAGCAUGCAGUGUGCUAAUAUCCAAGCUUUAUAUCAUGAAUGAUUAUCUCAAUUAAAAUUUUCUGCGCAGGAUAUUUAUACCGAUUAUAAGCAGCCAUUUGUGGUGACAUAUCUUGGAGCUUCUCUCAUGGUACUUUACCUCCCAAUAGCAUUCAUUAAGGAUUGGUUCUAUAACUUUCUUAAACACCGCUCUUCUAAAAGUGGAAAAAAUGCAGAAAGCGGCAAUGGAAUGCAGAAAGACUUUGAAAUGGAACUAGGGAAUGUGGUUCGAAAAGACAGUGAUAUAGACCUUUCAACUCUUGGAGAGAUAGCACCAUUGGUGGCUAAAUAUAAUGAAACUAGUUUGGCAAAGGAAGAAAAAGAACUUACUACAAAGGAAAUUGCUACUUAUGGAUUUUACAUUGCACCUAUCUGGUUCAUAACAGAGGUAAGUAACUCAUGAUUGAAACAUGUGUAUCUUUGUUAUUUAUUCUGGUAUAUGACAUCAUAUAGGAAAUGUAAUGUGUUAUUUUAUUGUUGUAUUUUGUCGCUUUCAGUAUCUAUCAAAUGCUGCUCUUGCACGUACUAGUGUUGCGAGUACAACAGUAUUGUCAUCUACUUCAGGACUCUUCACUCUUUUCAUCGGUGUAUUAAUGGGCGAAGACACUUUAAAUAUAUCAAAAGUAGUUGCUGUCUUGGUCAGCAUGACCGGAGUUGCCAUGACAACUCUGGGCAAAACUUGGGCCGCAGAUGACUCGCAAUUUAAUGCUUCGUAAGCCCUUUCUAUCUCUUUGAUGACCAAAUUCGCUUCGUUAUUCUAAUUCCAGUUUUAAGAUGUCAAACAAUUUUUCUAGUAGGAGAUAGUCGUUUUGCAUCCUUUACUCUCUGAGCUGGUUUACAAACAAGCAACAUUAUUUUUAAAAUAUCUGUUCAAUAAAAAACAUAUAAUUAUGUAUCUUUUGUUAGUAUAAUGUAACGAAGAUGUCUUGUAUCUAGAUGACAAUUGUGUCUAUAGUUGAUAAGAAGCAUCAAUGAUGUAUCUGAGAAGUAUAGGUGGAAAUAUUUUUAAAAGGAAUUCAACAAUAUUGGAUACUUUCUUGGGAUGUUUGUGAAGUAUUAGACACGAUUUGGCAUCGGAUACUUGUCAGAUACCUAUACUUUGAUUUUUUUUUUUUUUAAGUAUUUGUGCUUCAUAGCUUACAAACCUAUAUGACUAUAUCCCUAAUAUAAUUGAUCCCUUUGUAUGGCAUCACAUUGAAAAUCGGUGUCUCCUCACAUGAGUAUAUUAAUACACAUGUCAUCCAUUAUGUUGAUAGAGAUAGAGGGUAUAAGAGAAAGGUAUACAAAGCAUAGCUAAUGUUUUAGUUAUGGUGCAAAAUAUUAAGGAGUCAAGUUGCUAUCUUGCAUGCAUUAUCACGAGCUUGCUCUUUGUAAUACUAUUUUUUUGGGCAUUGACAGUUGAUAUUUGUGUUCAGCAAUGGACAGCGCUCUCUUGUUGGAGAUCUUUUUGGCCUUCUCUCAGCCAUGUCAUAUGGUCUAUUUACUGGUUAGACAAUGUCUUAGCUGUUUCAUUCUGUAUUUCUUUUUUCGAGAUAAUCUAGAUGAAUAAUGACACAGCUUCAACAUUAAUUUUGCAGUUCUUCUUAAAAAGUUUUCUGGCGAAGAAGGUGAACGGGUUGACGUGCAAAAGCUGUUUGGAUAUAUUGGAUUGUUUACACUUGUAGCGCUAUGGUGGCUUAGUAAGUUUUUUUUACACACAAUGCUUUUGUAGUUACUUGCCAAACUCGACUUAUAUGAUCACAAUCCUUUUCAUUUGCUCCUCUAACUUAGUUUUUGUGUUUUCACACACUCAUCAACAACAUUUCAAUAGUUUUUUUAUAAUAAAUUGAUGCGCAUUAACCAGUGCCAACUUCGGUGGGCUAGUUUGGCUUCUUCAAAUAAAAUUGAUUCGCAUUAACUGAUUGCUAAUUUUCUUUUUUCUUUUUGCUCAGUCUGGCCAUUGUCGGCCUUAGGAAUUGAACCUAAGUUUGCGAUUCCGCACUCUGCCAAAAUGGAUGAAGUGGUUAUUGCAAAUGGACUUGUUGGAAGUGUUCUCUCAGACUACUUCUGGUACAUGAAAUAAAUUUGAAUAAUUUACAUGCGCACAGAGUUAUGCAAAUUCUAAAAUUCGAGUUUAUUUGAUCUACCACCCAGGGCACUCUGUGUCGUAUGGACAACUCCCCUUGUGGCCACUUUGGGCAUGUCACUCACCAUUCCUCUUGCUAUGAUGGCUGACAUGGUAAUCCAUGGUCGCCAUUAUUCUGCGUUAUACAUGCUUGGAUCAGCUCAGGUAUGGUUGUCACUAAAACUACAUGCAAUUUGAUGUUUUCUCAGCUUUCAGUUUGCAACAGUGGCCAAACGGAGGAUCAUUCUUUCAUUUUUUCCCAACAAAAAGCAUAAUAGUAGAAAUAAAAAAAAUCCUAUUUACCUCUUGGUGUUAAAUGUUUUGUUGGUUCCAUCGAUGUUAGGAUAAUUUAUAUAUGCAUUGUUGAUGUUUUGUUGGUUCCAUCGAUGUUCGGACCUAGGAUAACUUAUGUAGCACCAGCACUUCAUAUUGAAUGCAUGUUUGAUGUCAGACACAACACCAACGCAUGCGGUUUCACAUUCAAUCACUUUCAUUUUCUUUAAAUUAUUACUGGUAUCUAUGUGUCUGGUUGUAUCUUGUGCCCAGUGUCUGUUUCAACGAUUCAUAGGUUAAUACAAAUGUUUUAUGUGUUUAAUUCUAUUUGUUAUUUCUUCCUUUGACUUUAUACAUGCUAAUUCCCCUGUCAUCUAGUUAUAGUUAAUGAUUUACAAAGUGUCAAAGCCUAGGAAAUUUUGUCUAGAUUAGACCAAAUUGUCAACUGGCUGUUAACUCAUAUUUGAAGCUUCUAGUUAUCAAAAUAUUCAACGUUUUUUGUUGACAUGUUGAUGGAAUUGUUUUGGCAUUGUGUUUACAGGUAUUUGCUGGGUUUGUGAUAGCAAAUCUUUCAGAUUGGGCGACAAAGAGGUUGGGAUUAUAACACAUGAUGUUUUCUUGAUUAGUUUGGGGCAACACUUAUUCUUUUUUUGGUUGAUUAUAUUUCCACUACUCAGAUUGAGUGUCAUAGCAUGAGUCACACAAUAUGUUGAAAACCAAAACCAUGAUCUUGGUUUUUUUUUGUUGUUGUAAUUUUCAAGGAAAGCAACAAAAGAGUGUUGUUUCCAUGAUGUAUUUGUUCUGUGUAUAUGAUUUUCUUCUAUAGCGAGUUCUUCUUUGUUGUAAUCAUGUCCAAGAUGAGAGAUGCUAGCCAAUAAUGUAACCAAUCAUUGUUAUAUAAUUUGUAGCAACACGACUAAAUGUGUUCUUGAAUUGAACAAUUGAGAAUUUGACUUAGCAGUAUAGAAAGUAAGCGUUCCAUGAACAAAAAGCAAUUAUAAUGAUCCAAAGAUGAAUAUUGGCAAAAGGGUAUAAUGUACGGAACACAAAAAAUUGAAACAUGUUAAAUGAAUUUUUUUUUUUGUCAGGUAGUCUAGUGGUUAGAGUUCACAUUUUUUAAGGUGAAUAAGUGGGGUGUCUGGGGUUCAAACCCCGACCCAUGCAUAUAAUAAUGCAUGUCUCUGCCAACUAAGCUAUGCUCACGGGGACGUGUUAAAUGAACUUUAUCCCGAAAGAAGACAAAAAUUUAAAUAGGGCAGUUUCACAGGCCUUAUUGUAUCCAAUACGUGAAAGUAAACUUAUUCAUAAAUGAAAGAAAUUACUUUUAACUCAACAUUUCACAAAUACACAACUAACACUCCUUCGAGAAUGAAAUACUAUAAGUAAAAAUAUUUUUAUAUUUUUGAAAUGAAAUAAUGUAAGAAGUUAACAAUUUCUCUCAUAUUUAUUGAUAGUAUCUAAACUAAACUACUCCUCGUUUAAUUAAACUUUUUAUAUUUCAAAUGAUUUGAUUUAUUUAGUUAUGGAUAGUGAUGCUACUUUUUUUGGUGUUGUAUAGAUUAAAUGUGAUCAACUUUCUUUUCUAAUUCUUUCAAAAAAAAAAUAAACUUUCUUUUCUAAUAUAUAUAAUUUGGUCAUUGUUGCUUAUAAUUGAUUAUACAACUAUAGAACAUACAAACAAUAAAUAAGUUGCAGUAAUAGAGUGUAGAGUAGAGAAUAGUGCAGCCAGAUUUAUAUUGGUUCGGCUACCAACCAUUUUAUGGCGGACGUCCUACCUUCAAGGUCAAGUAACGUUAUUCCACUUGGUUACGAUCUGGUUAUAUCAAUGCACAACUUUGACGUCACUUAAAACUUGAUAUUUUAAAAGUAUUUAUUGAAUGAAGACAUCUUUUUAUAUUAACAUUUGUUUUUUAUACAUUAAUACAAAAUUAUGAUCAAAGUAGAAUUGCAUGUAAGAUAGAAUUCAUGACAAAUUUAUGUUAGAUUGAUCGAACUUCUUUAGCUUUAAAAUACUAUAUUACUAUUAUCAUAUUUUUAUCCAUAGCGAAGUGACAAACACCAUCUGAAAUUCACACACACAACGGUAAGAUUUAAAGUUCGAAUUCGAAUGAAAAUAUUCAACCCAACAAUAUUGAUAUUGGUAGUUGAGUUAGGUCUUACAAACAACUAUUUUUUUUUUAUAAGUCCUUUUUCACAUAUAUUAAGAAUAUAUUUUUAAACAACAUAUAUUUAAAAAAAUAUAGUGUGUAUAUAUAUAUAUAUAUUUUGUCAAUGUAUAUUUUGUAUAUGACUAUAAGUCUAUAACUUUUUUUUUUAAGGAAUAAGUCUAUAAUUAUUUGUCCCUACUCCUUUGUGUAUAAACAAACGUGACUAAUAUUAACGUUUCCUAUUCCAAAUAAAUAAUAGUUUUUUUUAGAAACCAACAUAAAUAAUAGUAAUAAUUAGAGAUAUAUUUAAAAUAAAAAUAAAAAAUGUAUGUAAAAAAUUUAUACUAAAACUUAUAUUUAAUUAAGUAUAGUUUUUUAAUAGGGUAUGUGUAUAUACAAAUACAAGGUAAUAUCGUGUAAAUUUAAGAGAUUUCCAUACCGUUUUCAUGAUUAAAAGUUUUUGAAAUACCAGUUCUUGAUUGUAGUCAACAGAAAGUAAAAUAGUACUAAUAGUUAUAACUUUUUUCUUUUUUGUUAAUAUUACUUUAUUUUUUUAUCCAUAGGAAUACUAAUAAUGAUAUACCAUUUACCUUUAUUUUAUUGUUUUGAUAAAAGUGCACAGUUACCUUCCUACAAAAUAAAAAAAAAUCUUUGAAAACUCUCUCUCUUGUACGUUUUGUUUGUUAGUAUCACUGUAGCAGUAACAGAGAGUUGAGGAUUUGCAUAAAUAUCAAUUGGAAUCGUGAACUGAUCAAUCUCAGCGAUGGAUACAUUACCAACAACAUCGUCGUCGAAGCGAGGUGGAGGAGGAGGAAGAUCAAAAAUCGUUCAAACAUCAAAACCUUCCCUCCUCUUAGCUUUCUUCUCUUGCGUCGCUUGGCUUUACGUCGCCGGCAGGUUCCGUAUUCCGAUCCGAUUCUCAUUCAUUUCAAUUCGAUUCAUCUUAAUUUCUGCUAUUUGUUUUCAAUUUUUUUUCAUCUGAAACACUAACGGAUUCGAUUAUAAUGAAAAAUGUGCUAGGUUAUGGCAAGAUGCUGAGAAUCGGAAUUUACUUGCUAGUCUUCUCAAAAAGAACUCAUCACAGGUUUUUUUUUUUUCCUUUUCUUUUCAGUUCUAAUUUUCAAAUUCAUUUUGUUUGAUAUCAGUUUAGUUGCUGAUUUUUAUGAUUGAAUUUUGAAAUCCAUAUUGUUUUCGCCUUUUCGGAUAUGAAGCACGGACACAACAACAUGUCGACACAAGCAAUAAUUUAGAUGCUGAUUUUUUUAUUUACAGUAGAGUAUUUAUGAUUUAUGAUCUCUAUUGCACUAACACUUUUGAUCGAAGGCAUGUUCGGUGUUGGACAUGUAUAAGUACUGUCCAACACCGAAACGAAAUUAAAUUUGAUUAAGUUAUUUUCUCAAAUUAUUAUCGGUGUUGACGUGUCUAUGUAUGUGUUAGUGCUUUAUAUAGUUUACGACUGAAUUUUGAAACUCAUGUUGUUUUUCGGUCUGCUAUUUUCAUUUUUAGUUUAUCAACUUAUGAUAUUGUGGUUUAUUUUUUGUUGCUAGAGGCCUAAGGUUCUUACGGUGGAAGAUAAGUUAAUGGUACUAGGGUGCAGGUAAUUGUGCUCUUUUUGUGUUAACUUAUUUUAUAUAUUUUUUUAGAUUCGGUUGAUUUGUCGUUUUUGGUGAUAUUUAGUUUGAUUUUGUUGGUGUUGUCAAUUGCAGAUCGCGUAAAAUAGUACUCACUUUGUUCCUUUUUAGUUGUCAUUUUAAGGCAUUUCAUACAUACCAAGACAACAAAAAUAUUGUUACUUUUGAUGACUAUUUAUCUUUUUUCUCUGUAAUAAUAAUCUUAAUCAUUUAUCAUCUCGUCAACAUCUAUUCCUAUCUCUCGGUAAAUAACUAUGGGUAUUAUUGACCAACCAAUAAAUAGGAAUGAAUAAUUUCUUCAAAUACAACAAUUAAAAAGGAAUAGAGAGUAGUUUGUUCAAAUUCCAUUGCACUACAUGAUAUAUUUGAUAUUUGACAACACUGGUUUUUAUGAUGUUGUUUUGUAAGGGAUUUAUGUGUAUGUUGUUUAUUAGGGAUCUGGAGAGGAGGAUUGUGGAAGCUGAGAUGGAAUUGUCGUUGGCCAAGAGCCAAGGGUACCUCAAAGGACAACGGCAGCAAACUGGUUCUUCUGACCGUAGGCUUCUUGCUGUUAUUGGAGUAUAUACUGGAUUUGGAAGCAAACUCAAAAGAAAUGUAUUCAGAGGGUCUUGGAUGCCUAGAGGUAUGUUUGGAAUUCGGUUGAAAUUCACUAGUUCAUGUAAAUUUCUGUGCUUCAGUCGUCUUUUUUUGGUUACGAAGGAGGUUUAAGACUUUGUCUGGUGAGAGGGAGGGUAGGCUAAAGUAGAGGCAAAUUGGCCUUGGUGAGACUUGAUCUUAGGUUCAAUGCUCAUUUGCUUGAUCUCUCCUGAUAUCAAUUAUGUUGGCUGAAAUGCAAACGUUGAUUAAUUGGAAUUUAAAUUUGGGAGUGACUUUAUGCCUCUUAAUUUGAAAUUGUGUGGGAUUUUCGCAUUUAUACUUUGAUUUUGAUGGUUUAUACUUUAUACUAUUAUAAAAAAUUUGGGAGUGACUUUCUUAGUUUCUUGAAGAUUUGGUUUUAAUUUAUACUUUGAUGGUUUAUUGCCAUUUUCAUGAUUUCUAGUUUUCUAUCUUUGCUUCCCUAGGAUAAGUUUUAAUAUUUUAUCUAGCAAAUGUUAAAGAUAUAAUGCGCCACAGGCAUUGUGUUAAAACGCCUUGAUAAUUUUGUAUUAUUAUUUUGUUUAUAUUUAGGUCAUAUUAUAUUGUACAUGUGUUUAAUGUAACUUUUUCAUCAUAGUACUGGUUUAGUGAGAUUUUUCAAAAAAAAUAAAAGUAUUGGUUUAGUAAGUCAUUGCUAGGUUUAAUAUAUUAGAUGUGUUUUUUUGAAUAAUGAGAACGUAAACAGUUGGUUUACCUCUAGUUUUUUGUGAUUCUCAAAGAAGGAAAUUUAAUUGAGUUGUUCAUAUUUAGGUCAUAGUAUAUUGUACAUGUGUUCAAUGCAACUUUUUCGUAAUAGUACCGGUUUAGUGAGAUUUUUCAAAAAAAAAAGUAUUGGUUUAGUAAGUCACAGCUAGAUUUGAUAUAUUGUAUAUGCUUUUUUGAAUAAUGAGAACGUAAACAGUUGGUUUACCUCUUGUUUUUUGUGUUUCUCUAAGAAGGAAAUUUAAUUGAGUUGUGCUGUUAUGAUUGCUUUGAACUAAGACUGAGAACCUAAUAUGAAGUUACACAAGAGACUCAAUGUUAACUUCAAAUUGACAUUUUUAUGCGUCUCGACUAGUACGCUGGGUUUGAUUCUGUUGAGUAUUAUUUGCAUGGUUAUCCUUUUAGGUCAGUUAUAUAUCACUGACAUUUUCUCUUCAAAUUUCUGGCAGGUGAUGCCUUGAAAAAACUUGAAGAAAGAGGAGUGGUCAUACGUUUUGUAAUUGGUCGGAGGUUUUUCCACGCACUUAUCCAUACUGGCUAUGAUAUUAAUACAUAUUUUCUUGAAAAUUUAAUGAUUAAUUAUCUGCAUUUUGAAUCUUAUUUUACCUUUAAAUUGUUAUUGACAGUCCUAAUCGAGGUGAUAGCUUGGAUCGCAAUAUUAAUGAGGAAAACCGCUCAACAAAAGAUUUCUUGAUUCUUGUAAGCAAAGUGUUUUGUGUAAUUUAAAUUAGCUCAAUCCUUUACCUUGGAUUGUGUGAGUAGACAGGAAGCACUGAAUUGUUUUUUAUAUUUGGCUUAUCAUAGAUGCUUAAAAUUUAGGAUAUUAACAGUUUAGGGUUAUCUAGUACAUGCAUAUGCAAGGUGAUAAUAUUUCCCCUCAUUUAAAACUUGCAUUAUUUCUUAAAUAUUUCAAUCUUAGGGAGACUUGAAGCAUUGGUGUGAUGGUUAAAUUAUUCUUUUUCUGGUGGAACUAAAGUUUUGAUGGGAUGGAGCAAAGGACAAUUAUUGAUCAUUGUGUUUAUCAAUGCUUUUGUAAAUGAAAUACUCAUUUGAGCAUGCUUCCAUGUCAUUGAACCUUGUUGAACAAGCUCAGUAUAGAGCUUGACCAUCUGUUUUUUUCGUAAUAGGAAAGUCACGAGGAAGCUCAAGAAGAGUUGCCUAAAAAAGCAAAAAUCUUCUUUAGUACGGCGGUUCAGAACUGGGAUGCUGAUUUUUAUGUGAAAGUUGAUGACAGUAUUGACAUUGAUCUCGGUAAUGAUGGUUUAAUAAUGAAUGCAUGUAUUUAGGAGAUUAUGUUGAACUAACUCUAAUAUAUCAUGUGAAAUUGAGUCUUAACUUUAUUCAUUGGCUUAACAGAGGGUUUAAUUGCUCUUCUUGACCGUCGACGUGGCCAGGAUGGUGCAUAUAUUGGAUGCAUGAAGUCAGGAGAUGUGAUAUCGGAAGAGUACUCUCCUUUAUCUGAACUAACGCUGAUAAUUUAUUUAUGAUAAAAGAUGUGUGGAAAUUUUUGCCAGUUUUUAUGUAGUGUAGAUGGUCCUAGAAGAUUUCUCUUUAAGCUGUUUGAAAUUGUUCAUUUUACUGUUUUGAACUUGUGUUGAAAUUUAUUCACAUUUAUCCAUUUUUGUGUUCAGAAUUAUUACCGUAGCUCUUUUUAAAAAAAAUAAUAUUCCGAAGUUGCCACAUCUGUGGAUGUCACCGAUUAUAUUAAUUUUCAUCCCAUCGAAUGUGUUAAUUAUCUUUAGGCAUGCUUCAUAUUUGCCAAGGAAAUUUGCAUUUCCUGGAGAAUGUGUUAAUUUCUAAUGAAUAAUGAAUGUUUUUAUUUUAAAUUGUUAAGUUCCUGUGCUUAAUCUUUUCUUCCUGAAUUACAAUUAUAUUUCUUUAUCGCUUGUUAUUUUCUCUUUCAUCGAAGUUACAAUAUCAUUUGUUUUAUAAAUAUUUUACAAGUUUGAUUUUUCAAUUGAGAUUUUUGGAUUCAAUUUAUAAGCUCCUUAUUUUGUUUUCAGGGGAAAGCUUUGGUAUGAACCUGAUUGGUGGAAAUUUGGGGAUGAAAAAUCGUAAGUAAUAUACCCUUUAGAUGAGAAAAGAUUUGGUGAUUUAUUUGUUUUUGUUUAUUCAGGAAUGAUCUUCAAUCUGCCUUAAUAUAUCUUAAAUUGAAACCAAUACAUUAUUCUUUGUCGUUUUAUCAUUGAAUUGAAUGGGUAAAUUAAUAAUCUUUGGUCUUCACUAUAUCUCACAUCAGUGCUAAGUACUAAUAACAAAAAUUGGAGGGAACGAUUAAUUUGUAACUUCAGCAUACUCAAUAAAUUCCUGUUAUAUGCUGUCAUCUCUUUGCCAAAUUUAUACUGUUUAAACACAUGUUCUGUAUUAUUACCUAAAUUGUUUUAAUCAUAUUGAUAAUUAAUGAAAACUGCGAUAGAAUUAUGCAUUUUCUUGCCUUCGCAUGCAAUCACCAAUUAAUGGAAUCAUCUGGUCUUUGAUUCAUAUAUGUCAUUAGUCAGUAGUGGUGUGAAAAACUGGAUAAUGCCAAAAACCAUAUGGGGUUUAAUGGAUUGCUUGAAGUGUUUCUUUGAUUGUUUAUUGUGAGUUUAAUAGCAUUCACCAUGGUAAAGAAGGAAAAUAGAACAACAAGUUGUAUGCAUAAAAUGAGAGUUGUUUUAUUUUUUCUAGUGUUGAUUUUAUUUUUAUUUUUUUUUGGAAUGGCCAGCGUUGAUCUUUAUUGCUUUAUUGUCUUUAGGUAUUUCCGACAUGCAUCUGGUUCGCUUGUUAUACUUUCGAAGAAUUUGGCACAGUACAUUAACAUAAACAGGUUAGUUCUCAAUGUCUUAUUUGCACAAGGAGGUUCUGUUUGUAGCAAUCUUUGCAAUUAACUUAGGCAGCUUUAGUUUUGUGGCAUGGCGGCCUCAAUUUAGCAUUUUGGAUGAUGCAGUGUGGCAUCUAGAUGUCCUAAUGUUCGGUUAAUUGAGAGUGAGGAAGGUUUGGAUAUUAAUCGGCUAUUGCAGUGUGCCAUAUUCUUGGCUGGUAUUAGAGUUGAAGCUACUUGAUUGUCUUUUUUUUUUUUUUUUUCUUUCGGUUAUAUGUUUUUAUUUCCAAGAAUAGGACACAACACCAUAAAAAUGCUAUUAAAAGUGAAAUCAAUUUAGAAGUUUAUCUAGAUAAUUCCAGAGUUGAGAGCUGGCAAGAGGUUCAGGUAGAGAACCUAUAGCCAGUCAGAUUGGUAUUCUUUCCUGUUUGAUUGAGAGAAAAAUCUUUUCCUUUUUAUAUUAUACAUGAUGUCAUUUUUACCAAGCACAAAUUAUUGCAUCUUCGGGUGGAUAUGAGGGAUUCAGGCAGUGAUGAUAUUAAAUGUUGCUUUUUGUUUAACUCUGCUUUCUCUUGGAUACUUUUAUUUUCUCUUCUAAUCCAGUAAUAUAUCUUGAUCUAUCCAAAAACAAAAUGUAGUGUAUCUUUGAAGACCUAUGCCUAUGAUGAUACAACAUUGGGAUCAUGGAUGAUGGGCGUCCAAUCAACAUAUAUAGACGACAGUCGGCUUUGCUGCAGUAGCAUCAGUAAAGGUAAUAUCCCAAUCCUCAUCACUACUUUAUGACCAUUGGAAUCUGUGGAAAAUGAAAAUGUAUUUGGGUAAGAUAAUGUAUCAAGAAAAAAAUACUUAAUGCGUCUUCGAUAUAUAUUGAAGAAAUUAUAGAUAUAUGCACCGUCAGAGUAAAGUUGAUAACUCACCAAUUUAUCAUAUAUUUUUAAAUAAAAAAUUCAAAAAGCAAGUAAUGUAAGUGUGUUGUUGCCUAAUUUACACUGAUUGUGCUUAUAUCUUUAUAUAUAUAGUAUAUGUAUUUGUUUUGCCCCUACCUAAGUUCACAAAAUUGAACUUGCCUUACUAGUGGUGUCCAAUUUUCAGAUAAGGUAUGCUCGCUGGCUUGAUUGGAUGAUCCACAUGUUUCACUACUUGUCUCGGAGUCUAAAGAUCAGUGUCAGUUGAAGAUUAUGUUUACUCUUUUUGAUCCAAUACAACAUUGAGAGCUUUGCAGACAACCAAUAUAAUUCCUUUUUAUACCUACAAUGAUCUGUUCAUUCUUUUAGAUGUCAAAAUAGCGAAAUUAUGGAAGAUACCCUGCAUUAUGGAAGUGCUAUGAUCAUAAGCCUCCUCUGUUAUUAUUGUUUUAUACAAAACUUCUGCUGAUGAUCAAAUAUUGAAGAGGACAAAAUUCAAAGAAAGCAUAAGCGUUUAAUAUAUUUUUCCGACAGCAAAUUAUAUUUUUCCGUUUUUCUUUUGCGGUGCUUUGCAUUCCCUAAAUUUUCAUAUUUUAGUCCCUAAUAAAAAUUGCCUUUUAUCAACCCGUAUCCCCAAGCUGACCUAUUGCUAAAAAAUUGUUGAUGCAUGAGUUGUUUAUCGAAGCAUUAUUUUUGUUAAUGGUUAGGAAUUGAACUCUGCACCUCAGGGCUAGAACCCGUUGAUGCCUUUUUUAUCUAACGAUAUAUAAGACUGAAAAUAAGAGUGAUUUGAAAAUUAGUUCAUUAAUCUGAUUCAUGAAUCAAAUAAGUUGAAUUUAAGCUUAAAAUUAGGGUUGAUAACUAAAUCAGUUGCACUUCAAUUAUAUGAAUAAUUUGAAAAUUAGUUCAUUGAAUCUGAUCAUGAAUCAAAUAAGUUGAAUUUAAGCUUAAAAUUAGGGUUGAUAACUAAAUCAGUUGCACUUCAAUUAUAUUGAAAAUUAGUUCAUUGAAUCUGAUUCAUGAAUCAAAUAAGUUGAAUUUAAACUUAAAAUUAGGGUUGAUAACUAAAUGAGUUGCACUUCAAUUAUAUUCCCUUCGGUCCUUACUAUGAAAAGAAAAACAAAAAAAACAUCAAAACUAAUGCAAUCAUUAACUAUUGCAACCUUUUAAUCACAUUUACACAUAUACACUUAUAGAAAAUUAUGAAACAUUAGAUACAUUUAAUAAUCCUUCAUUAUCAUGUGUAUGUAAAGUUUUCUCGUAAACUAUAUUAUAUUUUCAUUUGUUGAGAUUCAAAAUCAAAGUUAUUUAUUCCUUUGUUUGAUUCAAAGUCAAAGUUCUUUUAUGUACUUUUAUUUAUGUCACCUAAGCCUUGAAUGUUCUUGAUAAUGUUCAUAUAUUUAUGAGUUUGUUCUUGAUAAACCAUAUGAACAACCUUCUGAACUAUCUUCGAACUUUCUAAACUUUGACUAACCUUUUGAACUCUGACUGGGUUUAUAAGCUUUAAUGUUAUUUGAUUACUUGAUUCUUGGUCUGAUUUGUACUUUGUUCCUCUCUUAUUUAAUCACUCAAGCACACAUAUUAAAUACCAAGAAAUUAAUCAAACUUCAUUAAUCUUUUAAUCAUCGAGGGUUGUUUAUCUUUAAAAUAUUUUAGGGAUUUUGCCUCAACACACGUUAGUGCCUGGCUUUUCGUUAGUCUUUUUUAAAGGCUCUUUCUGCUAGCCUAUAUAUAUAUAUAUAUAUAUAUAUAUACAUUAAAAGGAUACAUAAUUUUACGAUGAUUUUAUUCGCUUUUAAUUAUAUCCAUAAACAAAUUUGUCUAAUGUUAUAUUGUUGAUAUCAUUGGAAAAUAUAAGAAUUUAUAUUAUAUUUGUUAUAUUGUUGAAGUGAUGGAGUCAUCAAAAAAGAUAAACAUAAUUUGUUACAAUUUGAAAGUCACAAACGUCUAUAUUAUAAUUUUAAUUAAAAUCACACACACUAAGCCUCCAUUAACUUUGAUAUUUUUUUAACAUCUUUUUUUUUUUAAGGGGCUAAAAUGAAUAUAUUACCACAACAAUCAGGCCUUCCUAGCACAAGGUGUGCUAAGGAAGAAACACCUGAGAACAAGCAAAAUGUCUGAAAGUAUUUACAAGGCUACCACCAAAAACCAGCAAAAAAAAAAAAAAACAAUCAAUUAGCCAAUGCCUAGAAUAGAAAACGGGCUAAGCCACCAACCAUGUUAAUUGAGGGGAAUACUGACAUGUUUCCCCUUCAACCACGUGAAAGUAAGUGACUUAAUUUUAUCCACCACCUGCGGAAUAGAACAAUUUUUGUCGUUGAAAAUCCUAUUGUUUCUUUCUUUCCAAAUUUCCCACACCGUUGCAAACCAAAUGACCUGUAAAAUGGAUCGCCUUGUCUUGGCCACAGCACCAAUAAAACCAAACUGAUAAAAGUGACCAGUAGCUUCGCCAGGCAAAACCGCGGACAGCCCAAGCCGCCUAAGAAUAUGAUACCAAAUAGAGCCAAACAUAGAACAAUGUAAUAAUAAGUGUGAAGAUGUUUCCACCUCCCCACACCCUCCAACACACAACUGAGCAUCAACGUCAAUUACUUGACGACGGUAGAGGUUGUCUUUAGUAGGGAGCCUGUUGCGGAAUAGACGCCAAGCAAAUAAAACCACCUUCAGAAGAACGUCCCUAUGCCACAGAGAAGAGACAUGCACCACAACAUCAACCGAAUCAUUAUCGUUUAAAAAUUUGUAAGCACUACGAACUGUGUAUACGGAGGAAGGUUCCAACCGCCACAUCCACCUGUCAACCCUGUCAAACUGCAAGGUAACCGUAAGAAGUAAAAUCCUAAGCUCCCCUAUCAGAUCCUCCUCCCACGCAAACAACCGACGCCUCCAACUCCAAGCCCCCCCCCCCCUGUCAAUCCCCCAACCUAACAAGUGCAUAUUAAAAACAGAUUGACUCUUUAACACUGACAACUCAUAUAAUCUAGUGAACCGUUCUCUAAUAGACAUUCCUCCCACCCACACAUCCGUCCAAAAGAGAGUAUUAUUACCAUCUCCCACAACCUGACUAACAUUACCAUCUCAGAGCGCAUGGCCGAAACAUCCCUCCACCAAACAGAGGCCUCUUGGCCACCCUCCUUUACUCGACCCUCCACCACACCGUAUCUAGCCGACAACACCCUAAACCACAAACUAUCUCUAUCCCCUAAUAAUCUCCAACACCACUUCCCUAGAAGAGCUAAAUUAAAAUCUCUAAUUCUCCUAACCCCCAAAACUCCAGCCUCCUGACUCCAUAAAUAGUUUACCAAUCAAUCCAAGAGAUUUUCCUGUGGUGUACACCUCCCUCCCGAAAAAAAAAAAAUUUUUUUUAUUAAAAAUAGAUUCAAUAGAGGAAAUGAUACCUGACGGAGCUUUGAAAAAAGAAAGAACAUAAACAGGCAACGAUGACAGAACCAGCCAGCCACCCAAAGAUAAAUAUCUCGAACUCCACCCUGACAAUCUAGUGUUUAUGCGCUUAAUAAGAGGUUCCCAAAAAUUCAAUCUACGCGCAUUACCACCAAUAGGCAACCCAAAGUACAUAAAAGGAAUAUAACCAACCUUGCAGUUCAAAACCAGUGCUGCUUCAGCUAACCAAGAGGCCAUAACGUUCACCACAACCAGAAGGCUCUUCGAAAAAUUCACCUUUAAACCAGACAAGUCUUGAAAAAGAAUAAGAGCUGCUCUCAUAGCCCGAAUAUUAGCCCACGAUUUUUUUAUAUAAAGUGCAAGGACUAAAACCAGACAAGUCUAACUAACAACAGGGACUAUUUUUUAUAUAAAGUGCAAGGACUAAAACCAAAAAAAAAAAAGUACAAGGAGCAAACCCAAAAAAUGAUGUAACUGCAGGGACUAAUGACAUAUUUAAGCAUAUUUGAUUAUAACUUUUUGGAAUAUAAUACAAUUGAAUAAAAAUUCAACUUAUACUGUUUCAAUUUAUAAUUAGAUUUAACCCAUUUUUUAAUUAACACUAUUAAAAAGAAAAAAUUGUAGUUAGAAUAAUUUAAAUGAAGAAAUAUAAUUGAAAGAUAAAAAGUCAUACCAAAAUUAUAUAUAUAUAUAUAUAAAUACUCCCUAUAUUCCUUUUUAAGUGUCUUAAGGUGAAUUUUUCGUUCCUAUUUAAUUGCCGUUUUGGUAUUUUAAGGGUACGAUUUAUCAAUUAUACCAUUUGUCAAUUACUCUUAUAUUUUUCAAUAAAACUAAUUAAUGUUAUAUAUUUGGAAAACUAAAGUUUUUAUUUUUUUUAAAACAAAAUUUGUUUCUUGUUAUCUUCAAAUUUAAACAAAUAUAGGUUGGUUUGAUAAUAAUGUUUCAACUUUCAACAAAUAUUUAAAUCUGGUAAAGGAGUAAUCUAAACAUUCAAAUCUAUGUCACACGGUGUGAAUCUCUAACAUUGGUUGAAGUCAUAGUUGAAGCCUUAAUUUUGAUUAAAGGAGUUGGAGGAAAGUUAUUUUUUUCUUAACUUUUGAUUAAUGUGAAGUUGAUAUAAUUUUGAUCUAGACUUGAAAUAAUUAAAGAGAUAUGCACAAUAUUUAGAAAAUUUAAAAUUGUUUGUUAUGAGAAAAAGAUAAAACGCGCAAAAAAAAUAGAAAUUUGUUGGAAAAAGAGAGUAGUAACUAACAAUUGUUUGUCAUAUUAAAUUUAUUUGAAAGAUCAAAUGUUUGCAAAAAAAAUAGGAAAUUAGUAGUGGAUUAAAAUGAGGGUAUAAUAGUAAAAAUAUGUACAAAAAUGCAGUUCGCUAUUUUUGUGUUCAAAUACUAAAACGACAAUAGAGGGAGUACCUUUUUGUAGUAAAAAAUGUAACCCUCUUUUAAGAUAUUUAAAUUGAGUGAAGAUUUUUUUUUUUUUAAAGAGUAAAUCUGAAGAAGAUAAUUGUGCUUUUUUUUGUCAAAUAUAUUUUAAUUUAGAUUUACCUUUUUUUUAUUUUAUUUUAAGAGUCAAUCGAUUUUAAAUAAGUUUCUUUUUAUUAAGAUUUGACUAGAUUAUUAUCUUUUAUAUAUGAUGAUAUGACUGCGAUUUUUGUUAUAUGGUUUGUUUUUAUGUUACUAUAAUUGCUGGUUAUAAAUACCUUGCGACAUCUUAAAUUAGGUUACAAACAGUUGUGAUAUUGCUCUGAGGAUUACACUAAAGUGUUUGUUUAUUUCGCGGGUUUUGGUUGACUUCCAAAACCUCUUUUUCUCAAUCAAGAUGUAUAACUUCAACGAGGAGGUUCUGCUGUUCUUCCUGUUACACUGUUUUACAGAAGAAGGUUUAAAGGAAACAGUACACACGUAUGUCUCUAUUUUUCUUCAACUUUGGCAAUUCCUAUAUUGAAUUUUCAAUGCUUUAUGUGAACAUGGUUAUUUGUUUUAUGUUUUGAAAAGUCAAAAACUAUUCAAACAAAAAGAUCUAUGCACCACUGAUUUACUAGAGAAUCAAUAGCUCUAACAUGUGUCGUUCAUGAUAGAAACUUUUUAGGGCAAUGAUAAGAGGGUUUUAGUGAAGUUUUCUCAAAGUUUUAGGAGAUAAAGCUUAAAAAACUACAACACACAUAUAUUUAUUUGUUCUAUCAUAUGAUCGAUUCUCGUAACACUUUUUAAUUUGGUUUUUUGUUGCUUUUGCAUUUUUUAUUUUUUUUUGUCUCUCUUUCUGUUUUAUUUUCCUUUUUUCUGAUUAAGUAGUGUAGGAGACUAGGUCGCUAAAGCUUUUGUGUUUUCUUUUAUUUUAAUCUGUUUUUUAACUUAUUGAAAAAGAAGAUAAAAAAGGUUUUUUUUAAAUUACCUUUGAAGAAUGGUGGGUAAUUUACCCACCAACCAAUGAAAAUGAGCAAUUUAUUUGUGGGGUCAAGAUAGUUCAUGAAUAUGUGCUUAUGUGGCUAAUGUGUAUUGGUUGGGGUAAAUUACCCAUCAUUCUUUCAUGGGUAGCCUAGUUGUCACCGAUAAAAAAAGAUAAAAAACAUCAAUAUAGUUUUUUUUGGCUUAACUUCACUUUUCGCCCUUUAAGUUUUAAAAUGUUGCGAUUUUAGCCCCCUAUUAAAAAAAAUUGCAAUUUUGGCCCCUUUUGUCCCAAAAUUGUUGAGAAACGCCACGUGUCCUAAAAAAAGGGUCAUAAUCACAACUUUUUUAAAAGAUAAGGGGUCAAAAGAGCAUAUUUCCUUAUGUUAGGCGGUCAAUAGAGCAUAUUUCCCUAAACAUAGGGAGUCACUUUUGCCAUUUUUUUUAAUAGGGGUCAAAAUCGCAAUAUUUUGAAACUUAGGGGGCGAAAAGUGUAGUUUAGCCUAAUUUUUUUUUUGUUUUGGACUCAAAUAUGGUUAUUUGUUUGACAAUUAUUUUUUUUACUUUAUUCUUUUGUUAAUUUAACAGGUUUGAGCGUGAAAGUGGGUUAUACUUUGACUUUAAAUAUUUUGAGGAGGUGGUACUUACAGGCCGGUGGGAUGAAGUUGAGAAAUAUCUUUCUGGAUUUACAAAAGUUGAAGACAAUAAUCAUUCAAUUAAAAUAUACUUUGAAUUGAGAAAACAAAGAUACUUCGAGGCUUUAGACAGGUAAUUAAGCAUUUUAUGGCCAAUAUAUAACGAAUAAUUUAUAGAAAUUUGAUGUGAAGUAAGCCGUUGAAUAUGCAUGUAUAUACACUUUUUUAUCUAAAACAUUAAUUUAUGUUAGAGUAGGUUGUUGAAGGUCAACCACGUUGAUCAUGUUAAUAGUAGUCCUUGUAUGAUUUAUAUUUCAAGGACUAAAAUUAUAUGGUCUAAAUAUUUAUAGACUAAUAUAAACAAAAGUAAAGAAGAUAAGCAAGGUAGUGGCUCUAAAAAUAUUCUUAAAAGAUCCAAGCUGUUUCCUUCCACGUACUUUUGCCAUGUAGUCUGCACAUUGUCUUCUCUAUAAAUAUGGACUAAUGAAACAACUCUGUUUCUAGACAUAAGCUCUUUGAUACUAUAUGUAGUCUCAACAUAUUUAUUAGGCUGAGAUGUUGAGUCUUGAAUCAAAGAUAUAGCCUCCAUACAAUCACUUCUGCAACUCACGUCUUGGUAGCCGAUUUCCCAAGCUAACAUUAAUCCAAAUAUUAUGCCCUAUUAGUUCAAAUUCUAAACUGUCAGCAAAAUUAAUGUGUCCACUAAAUCCUACGAUCCAUGAGCCGGUGUGAUCUCAAGUUAAACUUCCAUAAUCCGCACGAUCAGGAUUUCCGUAAGAGCUCUCGUCAACGUUUAAAGCCACUUGAUUCUCGUUAGGUGGAGGUCAAAGAACCAACUGCACCACGUAAAAUUAAUUAAUCAUAUGGUUAUUUGUUUGACGAUUAAUUUAUAGAAAUUUCAUGCGAAGUAAGCCGUUGAAUAAAAUUAUAUUUCAAGGACUAAAAUUAUAUGGUCUACAUAUUUAUAGAAUAAUUAAUAUAAACAAAUAUUACGAUAAAUAAAACAAAUCCACAAGGAUGAAAGCAAAGUUUUCUAUGUUUCUAUUUUGUUUCAGAGUUUCCUAUGUUUCUAGUUCUAAUAUUAUAUUAUGUUUUUUGUUAAAAAUCGUAAUAAUUUUUUUCUUAUUCUAAUUUUUGUUGUCUUGUUUCAUCAGCAACGAUCAAAGCAAGGCUAUAGAAAUCCUUACGAAGGAUCUAAAAGUCUUCCGUUCAAGAAAUGAGGAAGUAUUUAAAGAAUUGACUCAAUUAUUGACAUAUAACAACAUAAGGUAUAUUCAAUAUUUGUCUUGUUGGGGUAUGGUAGUUUGAAUUGAAUUCUUCAUUAUGUGUCUAACUGUUUUUCUUGAACCUGAUUAGGGAACAUGAAUUACUUUCAACAUAUCAAGAUGCAAUUUCUUCAAGAAAGAUUGUGAUGAAUGAAAUUAAGGAAAUCAUAGAGCAACAUCCUAUGCUCAAAGGAAAAUUGAAAUUUCCUGAUAUUGAUUGUCAGAGGCUAAAGCAUCUUCUAAAUGCAAGGUUCCACACUUACUUCCUUAAUUUAUAGUAGUUGACAUGCAUGCAAUGCACCAUAUUUUCUUAGUGCAUUGUCUAACACCCUAAAACCCCGACUUUAUUUAAUAAAUAAAUAAAAAUUAUUAAUCAUACAAGUGCUACAUAUAUUCAGCAGUUCACCAAUUUAUAAAACAAAGAUUAUAAUUAAAUAAAUAAAAUUUGGGGUGUUACACAUUGUAUUAGAAUUAAUAAAUAUAUUUUUUAUGAAAUAAGUUUUUUACUACUAUACAUUUUAUUAAGUAGUUCAUUUCAGCUUCAUGUAGAAAUUUUAUUUAUUAAUUGUUCAAUUUGUUAGCUUAAAUUGGCAGCAUCAAAAUAAUGCUCCAGCUUCUCCAGAACAUGGCCUCUUUAUGAAUCAUGUCAAUCAUUUCAUACCAUCUACUGCUGCUGCAAUAAAUCAAGGUAUUAAUUUGAUAAUUUCUCAUAAAAAAUUGGUACCCCGUAAAUUUUGCAACCUAACCUUGUGAUGUAAUUUACCUUAAUGCAGGAACAGCUUUGAAUAAUCUUGGGGUACCUAGUGAGGUCAGUUGGAUAAAAUAUUGAUUUAACCUAUGUUCUUUUAUAAUUCAAAAUAAUAUUUUACUUGUUUUAGGUUUGACAAGGUUUUUUUUUUGUAUAUUAUUAAGAUUUUUGUAUGAAAGUUUAUAAAUGUAUUUUAAUUUAUUUUGGUUAUACUAACUAUCAUUGUUUUAAAUUGUACUUGGCAACACAUUAAAGAUUUGGACGUCUCCCCAACUCAAUCUAGACCGCAUUGCUGCAUUCGUCAACAAUCACAAUGUAAUUGCAAACCCUAUUUUAAAUCUUUUUAUAAUUUUCAGUGAUUUUAUUAUUAUUAUUAUUUUUAACGGUAAAAUUUAUUAAUAAUCAAGUCCUUUGUACAAAACGAACAAGGACUGGUAAGACAAACUACAAAGCAAAGGGCAUCUAAUAUAGGCGGAACACCUAAAAAAGAAAAUGUCUACACCGUACAUCUUAAACACCAAUAAAAUAUAAACUUCCAAAACCAAAUCAACAAUAAAAUCAAGCUAAUCCCUUUGUUCAAAAAAAAAAAAAAUCAAGCUAAUCCCCCACAAAACCAACAUAAACCAAAAGUUGCGCCAAAAUUUCACACUCCAUUGUGAAGGGCCACAUAAACAAAAUCCAAACACUCAUCACCUACUACUCACACCAAAGCUACUCCAAAAAACCAUUACACCCACUAAAACCCCCCUAACAACAGCACAUCACCUUCUCAUCACCAGAAACAUCACCUCACCUUCUCAUCACCUGAGCUGAGCCAAAUUCCCACACUCGUUCAUAUUUCACCAUCAAUCAAUCCUCGGUAUGUCAGAGAAGAUACCAAAACAAGCCAAACAACUUGAGUCAAGAAAUUGACUCUCAAUCUCGAAUCAAAAGCGAUUUUAUUGUUCUUUUGAACAUUCUUUUUAUCCAUAAAUAUGUUAGAUAUUAAUAGCCUACUUAGAUGAUUAGUGAAAGUUUUAGCUUAAGUCUUGACAGAUUACAUGGAAUACGAGUAAUCAAGGCCUUUGCAUCUAAUACUUGUAUCAUUGUGAAGAAUGAAUGAAACACUUCUUACAUCUCAUUCUCACUGAAUGUACUAGUGUUUUUGUUUUAUCUAAAUGUAGUGUUAUAUCCGUGAGAAUCGGAAGGUUAAAAAAAAAUAGUGUUGUAUGGUACCUUGAUAGACAAAUAUUUGGCUGUUUGACAUUUCGUUUACAUAUUAUUAUGUUUUUACAAUGCUAGAAACUUCUUAUGCUAACUUUUUUUCUGUUUUCUUUUAGAGUGGUAAAAAUUUGGAGGACCUGCAACCUGAUUUAAUUGAAAAAUCCCACAAAAUAUCAGAAAGUGUAUUUCAGAUUUGUACACCAUCUCAAUGCCAUAUGUUGCUACUUCCUAAACAGCCCGAAGAAAACAAGGUAUGACAUUUAUAUGAUUAAAUUGAUAUUAUUGGUUUUUUACAUCAUUAACUCAAGACAAAAACAUAUCAUUAGCAAUAAAAAAAUAUCUUGAUCCUUUUAUUCUUGCAAUAAAAAAAAACUUAUCUUGAUCAUUUUAUUCUUUAAUGUGUGUCUUAUAAGUAAGAUAUUUGAUUAAGUAGCAUCUUGAGAUUACAAUUUUUUGUUGUCAAGUCGCUUAGUGGCUAGAUUCACACAUAUUAUGUGUGGAGAAGUGAGGAAUCCGGUGUUUAAACCCCGACCCCUAUCUAUAAUGUGUUCUACCAACUGAGCUAUUUUUUCGUGGUAUAAUAGUGAAAUAUAAUUAGAUACUUUAUUAAAAAAAAGUACGCUAUCAAUUGAUAACUUUUCGUUAAGCAGAUCGUUAGACUCGCUUACACAAAUUCGGGAAAUGGCAUUUUGGCAUUGACAUCAAAUGGUAAUCAUCUACUUUGGUUAUGGACACAUACUAGCAUUGAUAUGGGAGCCAAGGUAAUAUUCCCUUUCCUUUGAUAUAAUAAAAUUUGGAAAUUGAUCUUAUUUCACUUUCUUAUUUCUCAUGAAAAUAAAAUUUGGAAAUUGAUUUUGCUAUAAUAUAUAAACUAUUGCUUGUAGGCAACAGCACAAGUUCAUCCUCAAUUGGCCAAAAAUGGUUUGGAAUUCAUGAGCAAUGACCUUACAAAUGCCAAUCGUGAAGAUUUAGUUUCUUGUUUUGCUAUAUCAAAAGCAGAUUCUUAUCUCUUAUCAACCUCAGGAGGGUUGGUUUCUUUGUUCAAUAUGGUAUCAUUUAAGGUAAUCUUAAAGAUAGAGUCCUAAAUGUUAUUAUUUCUUUUAUUUCUUAAAUUUAUAAAUUAUUUUAAUUGUUGGAGUUCCUCUACAACGAUUGCACAAUGUAGCGGCCUUAUGCAAAGACAUUAGAUUCAAAGAGGGAAAAAAAAAAUAUUUUCUAUAUGAAUCUAGCAUACUGCAUCGUGCAACCGUUGUAGAGAACUCAUACACGUUUUUUAAUUUCACGUUUCUUAUAGUUCUCUUUUAUUUUCGGUUUACAAAUAUAUAAGUCAUUUAAUAUCUUGGUCCAAAUUAAUAUGAUUUAACUAAUCAUGUCACACAUUAUAUAAUAAUUGCAGACUCUAGUAACUUUCAUGCCACCUCCACCAAUGGUAACAAGUCUUGCCUUCUAUCCUAAAGAUAAUAAUACUUUUCUUAUUGGCUUGGAUGACUCCAGUAUACGUGUAUACAAUAUUCACAAGCAUGAUGAGGUAUAUAUCUUUCUUCAUUCAAUAAAGACAUUCAUUAUAAUUACAUGUUUUAAAGGAUAAUUAAACUAAUUAACUUCAUGUAUCAUUCAUUUAUGUUAGGUUCAAAAGCUUGAGGGUCAUUCUAAACGAGUUUCUGCUCUUGCCUUCUCAAAUACUUUGAAUAUACUUGUUUCUGCUGAUGCAAGCCCUCAGGUUAGUAUUUAAAUUCCUCCCCCACCCCCCAUUUUUUGUCGAAACUAGCAAUGACACGUCAUCAAAUGUAAUUCCACAUCAUUAAAAAAGGGCAGUCUGGUGCACUAAAGCAUUACAAGAAAAUGGUGUUUUAGAUUCAGCAGAAAUAUGGAUGCUAAAAGGCAAAUUGUGGAUGCUAACAGUCUUUUAGAGUCAGUAUAGGGUCCAAAAAAUUGACGACAAUAAAAGCUUGGAUGCUAAUUUUUUUUGGAUUCUAAUUUUUUUUUUGUUAUGUGCAGAUUAUUGUAUGGGAUAGCAGUAGCUGGGAAAAAUUGAGAGAAAGAAACUUGCAAAUAGAUGGACCAAAUGUGCCACAAAUGUUUUCUGAAACUCACAUUCAAUUUCACCCUGAUCAGCAAAAUUUUCUUUUUGUACAUAAAAUUCAUCUUGCAAUUUAUGAAGCAACAGAACUAAAAUGUGUCAACCAGUGGGAUUCAAAUUUUCCAACAGUUAUCUGCCAAGCAACAUUCUCAUCUAAUGGUCAAAUGGUGUAUGCUUGUUUUCUUGAUGGGAAUUUGGCAAUAUUUGAUGCAUCAAAUUUUCAAAUGCAUUAUAACAUUCAGCCUUCUGUUUACCACCUUUCAUCAAUUCCCAGGUACUUUUUUUUUUUCUUCUUGGCUGUAAUUUCAGGGUUUGCAAUAACUAAUUGUUAGUUUGAUUUUUAUUAUUUUUAUUUGCCUGUCUCCUGAGAGGUCACUUGGUUGCAGACUCGUUCUUGCACCUUGAGGUACUCGGUUUUGAGACUCGGGCACCAAGAGUUUGAAAAUUUUAGUUUUAGCUUUUAGCUUUGAAUUAUAAUCACAAAUUCAUGAUUUAAUUAUACAAGUAGAAUAAUAACUCUUAAAAGCUUUUGGAUUAAUAUUUAUUCCUUACAUAUGUAACUUUGACACUCAAUCUAAUUUUUUUUUUUAUUUGAUUGUUGCAGUGUGAAAAUCUACCCAACUGUUUUAGCUGCACAUCCACAGAAACCAAACCAAUUUGCAGUAGGGUUAACCGAUGGUUGUGUUUAUGUGUUUGAGCCAAAGGAACCAUGUGGUAAUUGGAUCAUGUCUCAAGUUGAUAAGGAAAAAGCUAACAGCAUAGGGAGUCAAGGUUGAGAUGGAUUGGCGAAACACAUCCUCCGAUCAUUAUGAUAAGAAAAAAAAUCACAUUUUAGGAUUAUUGAAUAACCGAUGCAUAUGAUAUCUAACUCUUUUUAGGCUUUUGUCGUACAAUAAUUCAUAUUCUAAUGUUAGUUAGUUAGUUUAGUUAAUUAAGGCUCUAUUUGGAUUGAUGUAAUUUAAGAGAACGGAACGGGAUGAAACGGAGCGGAAUGAAACAUAGAUUCCAUUCCAUUGUUUGGAUGCUUUAUGAUGGAAUUGAACAAAUUUCUCAAACCAUUAUUUGGAAAGUAGACGGAAUGAAAUGAGUUAUAAUCUUUUAUUCCAUUUUUACCCUUAUUUAAAAAGUAUUAUUAUUUAGAAUUAAUAAAUAUUAUCUUUUAUUAAAUAAAAGACCUUGUUUGAAAAGUAGAGCAUGAUUUAUUUGAUAUUCAUGUUCUAAUCUCAUUCAUUGUUUUAAAAAUAAUGUAAAUAAAUAUGCAGAUACAACAUUGAAUAUAAAUUAUUGUUUUUAUUCUGUGUAAUCUUAUACUUGUACGUUAUUUAAUACAUAUCGAUACAUCCUUUCAAAAAAAAAUACAUAUCGAUAUAUAUAAAUUAUCAAGCAUGAUGCUUGUACAGAUGGGAGAAGGUACACAAAGACGAUAAACAUACAGAUGAAAUGAAGAAUAAAGAAAUAACGGAAUAAUAUAAUUGGGAAGGUAACAAAAGAGGUAAAUUCUAUGGUACAUCUACUAUAUAUAACCACCCGCACUUUUGCGCUGGUUUUUUAUUUUUCAAAAAUAUCUUCAAUUUUUUUUCAAUACAAAUAGAUAAGAAUAAAUUUAAAUAUUAAAACAAAUGUGACAAACAAGAUAAGAAUAAAUAUAUAUCUGAUUUUUUUUGCUUUAUCAUUUUAAAAGUGUAACAAACUAGAUGAGUAUAUAUGUACUUAUUUUUUUAUUUUCCAAUUAUACCCUUAAACAAUUUUUUUUAUACAGUAAAGAUUGUUGUUGGUGUUGUUAAAAAAAAUUAUAUUAUAUUUUUUUUGUUAUAUUGUUAUGUCGUUAGAUAAUCAUGGUUAGUUUAGUAUUUAUAUUUUUACUUUUAAUCAAAAUUAAAAUUUCAUAAAAAACAUAAUUAGCAAGCGCCCGUCUUUUCGCUAGUAUAAAUAAAAUGGAAAAUUCCAUUCUACACCACAAAAUUCGUGUGUGGUUGUACAUCAAAUACUUAAAUUAAUAGUUAAAUAUGUUGUUUGUUGAAGAAAAAAUUAUUUUUUGUCAUUUUUUUUGUGGUGGUUGGGGUUCGAACCUCAGACCUUGCAUAUUAUUAUGCAUUGUCCAUACUACAAUUUACCAAAAAUGUUGAUGUAAUAAAAUUAUUUUUUUUAUUUUAUUACUCAUAAUAGAGAAUAUUGAUUAUUUUUUACGAUAAAUGUAAAAUAUUUAGUAUGAUUCUUAUAAAUCAUGAAAUGAUAUUUUCUAAGAUAUAAAUGUCGACAAAUAUAGCUCUUUAUUUCAUAAAAAUGAUCGUUAAUUUAUAUAUUUUGGAAGUAAGAGCAUUGGUACACCUUAAUUUGUGAGUUUGUAGAAAUUUCCAAAUAAAAUACAUGAUUUUUGGGUGACUUUUUCACUUUCAAUUAUAUCAUUAAACAUAUUUUGCCUAUAAAAUUGAUAUAUUGUCGAUGACAUGUAAAAAAAUAAGAAUUAAUAUUAUAUUUGUUAUAUUGUUGAUGUUUGAAAAAGAUAAAUAUAAUUUAUUAUAUUUUUUUUACAGAAGUUUGUUAUAAUUUGAAAGUCACGUGUAUCUAUACUUACAGUUUUAAUUAAAAUUUAUAAAAAAAAUAUGUUCAUAACUUAUACACUUUAGCAUAAUUAAAAAAAGGAACACUUGAACACAAGUUAUAUCUAUACUUUUAUAUUAUAUUAUAUUAUAUAUAUUAAAAAAAAACUACCCUUUUUCAGCAUUUUUUGGUUGGAUUUUUCAUUCUAAAAAUACCCUUAAUUUUCAAAACAAAUAACACAUGUAACAAAUAGAUAAGAAUAAAUUUAAAUAUUAAAACAAAUGUAACAAAUAUGAUAUGAAAUUUUUUUUCUUUAUCAUUUAAAAAGUGUAACAAAUUAGAUGAAUAUAUUUAUACUUACUUUUUCAUCAUUCCAAUUAUACCCUUAAACAACUUUUUCUAUAAUAAAAUUGUUAUUGGUGUCAUUAAAAAAAGAAUUUAGAUUAUAUUUUUUUUUUGUUAUAUUGUGUUAUUGUCGGUGUCGUUGAAAUAGAUAAUCAUGGUUUGUUUGAUUUUUUAUAACUUGAAAGCAACAAACAUUUAUAUUUUUUUAGUUUUAAUCAAAAUUAAAAUUUCAUUAAAAAAAACAUUGUUCAUAAUUUUCAAACGUUAUCGCAAUAAAAAGAGUGGAAAGACAUGCACUCAAGUGCCUGUCUUUCCGCUAGUAUAAGAUAAAUAAAGUCAUAUCAGACAUGUUCACAAAUCCUAACUCAAUUGACAAAAAUAUUGAAGGUUUUAGGCCGAAUAUUGUGAUCACAGUUUGAACCCCAACUCUCCACUUUUCUGAGUUUCCAAAACAAUGUAUAUUCAUUCGUUUGUGUUUACUAUAAUUAUUUUAUUGAAAGUGAUUAACACUCAAUACUUUAUGAAAGAAAUAUCACUCACUUAUUAGUUAAGAAAUAUUUUGUGCCGUUUUUCUUGACCUCAACAACAUGAAAGCCUUCGAAAGAACUUGUAAACUCAAAUUUUGACUCAAGAACAUUUGUUGAGAGAAAAUAUUGAUUCUCAUUUUAUGAUUUAAUGAAAGAGUUAACCGAGUUCCAUACAAAUAUCACUGAGCUUUUCAAUAUGUUGAGUUCACCAAAGUAUUGAGCUCGACUUGAAAUAGCCAAUAGUACUAAUUUAAUAAUAUGCAUAUUUUUUAAACUUCUAUGCCAUAAAUAUCUCUAAGAUGUAAAAGAUGCUUGAUAUAAAAGUUAAUUUUUUUUCUCAACUUAUAAUCUGUAAAAACUUUGAUAAAAUAAAAUCAAGACCAUCAAGACAUUACAUUAUUACGCGGAUAACACCACAAGAACCAACACCUUCAUCGCCAUAACUAACACAACUUCAACAACAAAGCUGUCUAAAGUGAAAAGUAAAGAUUUAAUGGUUACAAUUGCAAACAUGACAUGAUCAAAUCAUAUAUUCAAAGUCACAACUUUUCAAGCAUGUUAGGUUGGAACAACAACUGGGAGUGUAACGGAAUUUCAUUAUUUGACAACUUGACAGUCUAAAGGUGAGUUAAAUAUUUUAGUGACAAUAAUCUACAAACAAGGAGCAUAAUGUCCAUUUGUUCGAAGCUUAAAUAUAAAUAGUCAAUUUAAAAGGAAAUCAAAUUCUCAACGCCCCAUUGAAGAAGGUAAUAUCAUCAACUAGAGCUUGAAUCGUCAACCUUUGCUGCUGCAGAUGCAUAACUAACACUACUAUCCCGUGUACUAUGGCAUUGACUAGACUGCUCGUAGCGAAGAAAUUUGACUUUUAUCUUUGAUGAGCAGUUCAUCAGCAUCUGAUAAAUUUGCAAAAUGUUGAAAGUAAAUAUGAUAACAGCAUAAAAUAGAAAAACUAAUUUAAUGUGGUAAGCUGCAACAAAUAUGGAUCAGAAACACCACGUGAGGAUAUAUGCCCUUCACUAUUUUAUAAAGAAACUCAAAAAAUUUAAGAUACGGUUUCAGAUGACAAUACAUUUAGCUCAAAGCAUAAUAUUGACAACAAUACAAUAGUAAUAUUAUUUUGUGUUGAAACUGAGCUGGUUCAAGUGUUUCCUAAUUCCCAUUAUAAAUGCUACUUGCUAGAACAUCCUUAAAUCUUGACAACAAUGAAUGAGGACUCCAUUAAAAACUUUUAAACUUUAAGGAUCAAACUGAAAAUUCAAUAAAAUUAAGGACCUUAACGGUAUAAUUUGACAUAAAUUAUAAUCUGACCUAAAUUAUAAGAAAACAUGAUUUUUGAGCUAAAUUAUAAGAAAAAGUGAUUUUAUAACAAUAUCAACAACACAAUGCAAUAAUUCUACAUCCAUGAAAAUUUAUAAGAAACUUACAUGGAGAAAAACACUAAUUGGAUGGCGUCCACAGAUUGUAUUGUCAAAUUCUGACAGAUAUUUUUUGAAUGAAUCAGGGUCUCCAGUUUCGAUGAUAUCCAUGCCCAUCUUGUCCAGGGCCUCAAUGGACUUGUAAAUAGGCCCGUGUUUUUUGUCAUAGUGCAUGUAAUUGAAUCUGACAUAAAAUACCAGUCACAAAUCACACGAUCAAGACAAGCUUCAAACUGUUGAUGGAUAUGAGAUAUCCAUCAGAAUACAUAGACACGGACAAUAGAAAAGAUAGUGUACUAUAAAUAUUGCCAAUGAACAGUCACCACUGGAGCAUAUCUUAACAAAAAAUCAUAAUAACGUUAGUAUAUUAUUUGAAGUUUAGAAAACAUCAAGCAUCUAACAAGUAAUAUCAAGUAAAUAAACCAUAGAAAACAUAACUGGUUUCUAAAUGUUUGCUUUGUGUGUUAUUGUGGUUUUUUAGCAUUUCAGACAAAAGUUGCAAAUUGCAAGAGUAUACAAGAAAGAAAUAAGGUAGUUCAACAUGUAAGAAAAAAGUACAUACCGAGAUCCCCAGUGACAAAAAUCAGAUGAAAUGGAGAAGAAAUUAGUGGGAUCGUCGACAAAUUGAGCAAGAAUCUGUCCAUACAUAGCUUCAUUCUCAGCACUAACUGCACCGACUAAAAUGGGUACAAUUUUCACCGGGUGCCUGCGCCAAUAUUCAAACUCAGUCUCUGGCAAGUUUCAAGAACUGGAACCCUUUAAUUAUAAUAAAACUUACCCUUCAAAUACUUUAGCAAGAUAUGGCAAGUGCAUUUCCAUGCUAUGUUCAGCUUCAUCAACUCGAAUAUCCAUCGUUUCAAAUUUUCCCGUCGCUUUAAGCUGCUCAUUUACUGGUAAAACAAUGGAAAAUUAAAUGUGAAUGAGUAAAGACAGAAGCCAAUAUUGAAGUCAAACAAAAUGAAUCAGUUCUCAAUAAAUCAGUUCAAAUAGGAAAUUGCUUUGUAGUGUGAUACCUUUUCAACGAAAAACAACGAACAUGUACAAAUUACCUUAUAUUUUUUGAGGUUGCCAGUUUUGUACUCCAAAUAUUUUUAAAAUUACCACACUACCCAUGUUGGCAAGCGGUUCGUCGGUUUUCAUCAAACUUAUUUUGCACUGUUUAGCAGUGCUCGUUCAAAUAAUUUACACAUAUCCAUAGCUCAGAUAGAAGACUAUUGAUUGUAAUUAUAAUGAUCAAAUACUUUUUCUUCAUUACUUCAUAUAGUUUCCUAAUAUCCUUUUCCUGAGAGAUCCUCUCUUGAACAUAAAUAUGUAGAACUAUAGUAUAAUUUCAAUUUUCAAUACAACAAUUCAUAUUCAUAUAUCAUAUAUCAUACAAUUAUCACUACCUUCCAAAUCAAUAGGCAGGUCCCCAAUGGGUGUCUUGUAGACUGUUGCAGUUGAUAGAGCACAUUUUGGGGUGUAAUAGUGGUGAGAAGGACCAAGUAGGAAAACACGUUUGCUGAAAUCACAAAAUCAAAAUAAAAAAUAGCAAUAUCAGCAACAACAACAACAAUCUACAAGUUACCAGGCAACAAGUCAGAAGACGGACAAGAAAUGAACUUACAUGUUAGAUGGAUCAAUGUUUCCAAAGGCAUAGGCAGCAGCACGUCCUGAAUACGAAUAACCUGCAUGUCUAACACAACACAAACAUUUUCCAGUGCAUCGCAAACACAUUAGCAUUGUUUCUCUAAUCAUAAAUAAAUAAAUAAAGCAAAUUGAACUCCUCUAAAACUUGGAAUCCAAAAGGAUAUUUGAAAAAACAACAUCAGAGCCUUAAGUUUUCAAUCAAGGGUUACAUUAAAAGUCUAAUACAUUCACUUACGGUGCUAUUACUCCACGCACAUCAGAAGACUUGGUUAAACCACAUGAAUUCAGCCAUCCUUCCAGUUCUUCUGAAAGCUGCUUAGCUGAAAAAUAUAAAUUAAUAAAAACAUCAGACAGAGAUAUCAAAUUGAAAUUUUGCUGGUCACCAAGGUUUUAACAAUCUUCAAUACUAUAGAGAAUCAAAGUCAAAUGCAACCACUAUCGCAGUCGCACAAAUUGGGGGCAAUCUUUGAUACUAUCAGUAAUCACAGUCAAAUGCAGCUAAUGCAACCAGAAUUUGUAUCGCAAGUUGGGAUUGAGAACUUCAAUUUCCUCAAAGCUUCGUAGUUCUUGAAAAUGUUUCAACCCAUCAAAUCAUAUAUACGUUAUUGAAAAUUAAACCAUAUAUUAACAAAAAAAAACAGGGCUUUAAUUAUAAUUCUGCGACUACAAUCUAUGUCGCGACAUAAGAGUGUUUAAUCCUACUGAAAUCUCAAUGCAAUUGAGUUCAUAUUUAACUGUGAUUCUCUGCAAUAUCAAGAAUCACAUUAAGCCGCAAUUAUUUUAUUAAAAUAAAAAAAUAAAAAUAAAUAAAUAAAAAAAACUAACUUUAACCACCCCCAAUAUAAAUAAAAACUAAAAAUUCAAACUUUAACUAUCACAAUUGAAAUAUUGAUCAGAAAAAUUAAACUAAAAAUUCCUUAAAUGAAAAUAAAUGGAUGGUUGAUUGAAGAAACUUACGAUUGUCGGUGUACCAAGAACCAGCAUGCGAUGGUUUUCGGACUUUGGUGACCAUGGCGAAAGAGGAUUUGAGUUUUUGAUAAAACCCUAAAAUUAAAAUAAAGAAGAAGAACGAGUUUUUGAUUUAGUUUCUCUGACACGCUCCACGAUUCUUUCUCUUUUCAGUUAACUUACUUACUACAACAAAGUUAGUGCAAUCUCUUUCAUUAUUACACUUUCUCUUUGCGUCUUGUGUUGCUUUUAAUACUAGAACUAGAAAAAACAAGGACGAUAACACUUUACGCAAAUCCCAUGUUUUAUUUUGGGAAUAAAAUUCAUCAAGAAAAUACUAGGUAAAUUUGAUGAGGGAGUUGUAUUUUUCAUAUCAUAUAAAGGAAAUUAGCUGCUAAAAUAAAUACUUCAUCCGUUUUAAAUUGAAUAUCGUUUAAGGUUUUAAUACAUAUAUUAAAAAAAUACAAUGAUUGAAAGAAAGAAAAAUUUUAUUUUAUCAAAUUAUUCUUCUUAAUUAUUGGUUUGUUUUUCAAUAAAGUAAAAAUAAUAUUUCAGGAGUAGUGUACAUAGAAUUAAUGGGAUGGCACGAUUGAAAAAACUUAUUAUUGUAUUAGAAACCAAAAAUAGCAUUCAUUUUAAAACUUUUUUUUUGCUAAAGUGACGCUUUUUUUAAAAUAAAGGGAGUAACAAAGCUUAUUAUUUUUUUCGCUAAUUGAAUUUUAUCAUGAUUUUAAAUUUGAAUCAAAUCAAAUCGGUUUAAUUUAAUUUUUCCAUCAAAACUUAUUUAAUAAUUAAAUAAUUCUAACAAAUCAAAUUUGAGUUAGUGUGCGUUUAGUUUCUUUUGUUCCAACUUCAAGUAUGUCAUACUAUGUUCUUAGGUAUUGUCAGUUUUAGGUCAUUGAAUGAACCUUCAUGGUUUUGUCAUUUAUUAUAAAAAGGCAUCUUUGAGCCGAGGAGUAUGGGUGUUGUAUAAUCUGAAUUGUUUGAAAAAAGAAUUACACGAUCCGAGUACUUUGUAUUUUUUUAUUUUUUUUUGUUUAAGUUGUUCAAAUUAUAUAAUCUCAAAUAUUGUGUAAAUGGUUCGGAAUAUGAAGGGUGUGCAAGGAUGGGAAAAAAAAUUCUCCUAGUGAAAAGUCAGAUGGAUUUCCCUACUUUUUUAAAUAGAAUCCAUUAAUUUAUGAAUAUCUCACAUAAAUUUGACAGAAACGUUUCUACAGAAUUUAGUAAAUGUUGAUACUUGAUACCAUUUCUCAACUAUCUGAUUGCGUUCCAUUAGGUGACAGGCUUCUUGUCUUGGAUGGUACAAAUUGAAUGUAAGAUGGUGUAGUGGAAAUGUACUCCCAACAUACAACUGUAGGCUUCAAAAAGAUUUGUAUAGUGAUGGAGGGAUAUAGAAGUUGGAGUGAGAAUCUGUUAGCAAAAUAACAAUCAACAGAUAUUAAAAAAAAUCAAGAGUUAACUGAAUACAAAAUGUGGUGAUUUAAUCUCUUUAGCCUUUGCGGCUUUGGUUGUAUUCUGCUUUUCUUAUCAUAUCACCAGAAAACAUAUGCAUAACUCAAUCUUAAAAGACUGAUUCAAAACUGUUUUUAACUCACCCUCAUAUGAACAAAAGUUAAGAAAAGCCAAACUAAUUGUAACACUGGUGUCAAGAAAUGUUGCUAAAUAAAAUGAAAAACAUAGGCAAUUCAGGUUAAAUACUUGACAAAACAAAAGAAAUAUGUACAGUUUAAGAAGGGCACGGAUAUGAGUCGCCUACUUGAUAUUCCAACAUGAGAACCCAGGGUGAAGAACAACAUCAGUGACAAAUGCAGUGUGCUAUACAAUACCGGAAGAAAUAGAAUUGUAUAAAUGACAAUUUUACAACAUAAAUAAUCAUCAAACCCCAGCAAGCUGAAUAUUUUUAUUGUGUUUGCAAACUGAACAAUACAAUCACUCAUUACCUCAAACCAACAAAUGGAAUCAUAUACUGAUUUUACAACAGCAAAAACCAUCAGAACAUAUACCCCCCUCUAAUGGCAAAUCAAAUACUAUAACCAAUCUUUCUAAUCCUAGUAUCCCAAUCUCUACAAAACUGAUAUCGGAAAAAUAAUUCAAUCAUAGCACCCAUCACAGAGUUGACAAAAUGAAGAACAAAUCCCUGUAAUCAAAAGGAAAAUUAUUCCAUUCAGCCUUUAUGAUUCCAUCAAUGUCAUCAUUGGUAAAAAAAAAUAAACUGAAUUAAAGAAAAUAGAACAAGAAGAUUGAACAAAAUAGAUUGGUUAAAAUUAUAUGGAAAUAUUGAAUAUAUUAAAGGAUGAUUAAGUGGAAAGUUGUUCUCUAAAGCUACUGUUUAGUCAAUCCAUCCAUCUUCUAUAACCAGACAAUGAACAUGUAGACGUAGCAGUCUAUCAAAUGAUUUAAGUCGUCUUAAGCUAACUGGCUUCAAUCUUAUCUUAAGCCCCUAACGCCAAAAACCAACAACAAUUUGCAGGGGACAUGUCAAAAAAAGCUGGUGACCAUAAUGAAACAGCAUAUCAAAAACAGUAACUAGAGUUCAAACCAUCAGAUUUCAUAAAUGUCAAAAAUCUGUAAUUUAAAAUUAACAUACACAUUCCUAUUUAACAAUGAGAUUUGACCCUAUGACCACAUGCAAACUAUCCACACCCAGUUCUAGUGGCCAACACAAUACAUCUUUGAUUAAUCAGCUGAAUUAACUAUUGUAUGUGUUUAGAAGAGUUUAUUAUAACUUACUGAAUUGCCAUUACCCAGUUAAAAGUAAAAUCAUCUCCUAAACCUAUAUUUAAAAAUAAAUCACCAACAAAGCACCAAGCUUGGCAGUACCACUUCAAAACGUAAAGUCCAUUAAUUUUUGCCUAUUUUUUUCCUUCUUGGUCUCUACUAUACUCUCUAGUACGAUUGAUAUUCUCUAUUUCUUUUUUCAUUUGAGGACGUAAUUUUAAGGCCGUUGACAAUAUCAAUCAUUCGCCAAAAUAUUUUAGGUAGUAAGACUAAUACACUUUGGAUUAGGCGAGAAGCGUUUCUAUUUAAUACUUACCCUGAAUCUUAAACAAGACCUAUUUCUCACACAACCUCUUCAUAAAUCAAUACAGGAUACAGAUUAGAACAUGAUAAUCCUUUUCCCUAGCUGAGAAUAUAGAGCAUCCAAACUAGUUUAAAACCUUAACAAUAACUUGCUUCUGCAAAACCACAUAACAUCGCAGACUGUACUCAAAAGUUUAGCCAUCAAGAUCAAAUUGUGAUUCCACUAAGCAUGCAGAUAUCAUUUAUCAAUUUGUUUAUUGACCAAAACCGUAGAUUCUAGAACAUAAGCACACCCAGAUAACUCGAUUUGUUUAAGUAAAAGUUACCAAAACUUUUACUAUCUUUGCUAGUUAGUUACUACAACAAAUAGAAACUAUUCUGAAAUCUCUCCAUUAGUAUUAGUAUUAGUAUUAUGAAUACAGAAAGCAAAACCAAACAACAGAAAAGACAACACCUGUUGUGAUUAUGAGCAAGUACAGAAAUAAACACUUAAUUGUUUAACCAACAGAAAACACUUGGUUUAUCAUUCCAUAAAACAUAGAACCACACUUUUAAUUUAAGGUAUAACCUUUUAAAACUUUUAGAUGCUAACAAAUCUCACUAUAUUUUUAGAAAAAUUUAGAAGAUCUACUGCCAUAGGAACAUGCAGAAAAAACUGUAGUACAUGCAUUGUAUUCUUACUCACCUGCCUUGAAAUGGACUGUAGAAAUCUUCAAAAAUAUUGAAGAAUAAAACAGAAGCGCUAUUUUUGCCUCUAAAGAAUGACAAAGCAAAAAAACUUAAAAUUGUUCCAGGAUGUAAUGGAGUCUUGGAACACGCCGACGAAACAAUGGUUCGAGUCGGAAAGUUGGAACAUCAAACUGCCAUCCAUCAUACAUCUCAUUCCAUGCUUGCACUAUGUCAUCAAUUUUGAACCCUGUAAUGAUGAAAAUUGGUUGGUUAGUUCCCUAAAAUAUUUGAAACUUAAAAGGUAUCUGAUAAAUACACAACAGUUGAUAAUGUUUACGCAACCCGUACCUUCCAUUGCUGUUUCAUUAGAACAAUGGUUCUUUAUCAUGACACCAAUGUCAGUUGUAGAAGCUCCAGCUAGUUCAAACUUUUCAACAGCAACCUCCAAACACUCCUCCCAUGUUGGUAGUCCUAGCUUAAAUUCCACAACAGAACGCUCGUACAAUAAGGUGCCCCAUAAAAGGUAUAUCUGUAUCCUCAUAUUUGAAGCCUGCUCUUCAGCUUCUUCAGAAGAAAUGUCCCUGAAAAGACCGUGCAAACCCAUUUUCUCUAACUCUGCAUUAUAUUUAUCUAACUUAGAGAGCCCAUUCAAACGUUGUUCCUCAAUCUCCUCCCACAUCAACAUCCCUUUUUCCAUGCUGUCCUCUGCCUUGUUAUAGAGCUGCAGAACCUCCUCAAAAGGACCAACUUCGAUAUUCUUAUUGUUUGCAAUUAAAUAACACCAGCAUAGCUUUGCUUGCUCAAACUGCUGAUACCCAAGAGCAAGGAGUCCCUCGUAGAAGUCUGGUUUGAUUUUCACAGAUUCUUCGUAUCUCAUUUCUGCUUCCUUGUACUCCUUCGUAGCCCAUUCAUAUCCAGCUUUAAGAUGCUCGAGAGACGCUUCUCUCGUCCCGUCUUCCUGAAAAGGCACUCGCCUCCUCGCCUUAGACAAGUGAACAUUCCCCCAAUUAAACAAAGCCAAAGCAGCCAUCUCUUGAAACUUAUCCGCAGCAAUAUCAAACAGCUCUUGAGCACCAUCAUUUGUCACCGAAUCCUCCAUCGCCUCCGAAUAUAUCUUCAUCCCAACCUCAUGAAUAUCCAGAUACGAAUCAGAAUCAAACCCAACAUGGUUCUUAAACAGCCUCGCAAACUGAACAAGCCAUUCCUCCACAGUAAUCAUCCUAUUACCCCCAACACCCUUAUCUCCUUCUCCAACCCCAUUCUCCUCUCUCACCUCACCACUACUCGUCUUUUCAUCAUAGCACGGCUCCAUAUCCAAAUCCACCUGCGUAAUAUACAACCGAAUCGAACCAAGCACAUGACAACCCUCAGCUAACCUCAACUCAGCAGUAGUAGUAAUAGUAACCAAAUCACCUUCCCUAUCCUUAUACUUCACAAGAACACCCUUUAACCCCGGAAACCUAUCCCUUAUCACAUCUCUCACCAACUUCAUACUACAAUUCACCGGCAACUGCGCCCACCUAAUAUCCUCUCCAUAUAUCAACUUCACAGUCCUAGUAACCCCUUUAUCUUCCUUAACAACUUCUUUACUAUCCUUAUCCUUAUCCAUAACCUUAUCCUUCGAAUCUUGACCCUUCACCUUAACAUUAACGUUAACAUUUCCAACAUUGGCAGCUUUCUUCUCAACGACACUCUUACUUUUCCUCUCUUCCUCGCCUUCCCCUUUAUGCCCUUUCUUCUUCUUAUUAAUCUUCUCCCUAACAACUUUCCUAAACCGUGCAGCAGGCGGCUCUAUUUGCUGAAUAGCAGCCAGAGCAAUCUCAGUCUCAUCAAUAGCGAUCCCUUUCUCCUCCAUAGUAAUCCUCAAACUAUCAAGAAUCUCCAACGCGGUUGAAUUAUUCGGCUCAGCAUUCAAAACAACUCUAACAUCUCUCAUAGCCAAAUCCAAUCGAUUCAACGCCUCGUAACACUUAGCUCUUCUAAGAAGAGCUUUACUAUACCUCGGCGAAACUUGCAGAGCAAGAUUGCACUCGUUAAUAGCUCGAGGAUAUUCGCCGAGACCCAAUUGCAUAUAACACAUGGCCAUGUUGGUGUGAAGAUGUGCAACAUCUAUGUGGUUUUUGGGUAAGAGUUUGAGAGCUUUUUCGUACUUUAACAUAGCUCCUUCGUUGUCUUUUUUUUGGAAGAAAAGUUUGUUACCUUCUUCUCUUAAUUCUUGUGACAUGUUGAUGAACAUGGCUGUGUCAUCGUCGAAUGAUGUUGAACGUUCGUAACCUUUGUUCUUGUUGUUUGAUUUUGGUGAUUCAUGUUCCUUCUUUUUUCCAGCUGGUUUCCCCAUCGAUCUAUGAAUCAAUAAUCAAUUUUUCAGCUGAAUCAAAUAAUUUCAAUAAUAGUAAUAAUCAGAGAGAUUUGCUUGAAAUUGAAGAUUUUUUUUUAUCAAAUGAAAAAAAAAAAAACAAUCUUUAGGACCAAAUUGAAUGAAGUUGUAAUGAUUCGUUGUGUGGCUGUUGUGUGUAGGUUAGGGUUUGUUUGUGUUCUUUUCUUUUAUGUGAAGUCAACGUAGAUGGAUUGGAGGGUGUAAAAGGAAGAAUGGAGUGGCCUAAAAUAAAAGGGUGGGUGCUUUUGUUCUUUAGGAAAAUUGGGGGGAAAGGACUAAACGACACACAAAAAUGGGAAAACGCUGUGAUUGUGUCCCACUUUGGCUUUUGGAGGGUAUAUAUAUUCCUUCAUUGCUGAAUGUUAUUGUUGUAAAAAAUAAAAAAAUAUAUCCAAUUCAAGGGUUGAUUAAUAUGAAAAUUUAUCUCACUGUUGAAUAGCACGGCUUCAAUUAAAGUCAACUUAAACUUCUAUAUAAACUAACACACAUAAAUUGAUAUUAAGAGAAUUUGAAUUUGUUAUUUUGGUUUGUUCAAAAAAGAAAAAAUUGAAUAUGAGAUUUAAGAUGAGCAUAAUCUAAGAUUUCAAACCUUGAUGAUCUGGUGAAUGUUAAUUGUGUAUCAUGCUUUGAUUGAUGUUUGAACACGUGGACUUUUUCCUCUUUGAUUGUUUUUUUUUUUUUUACAUUUAACAUUUUCAUAUUCACAUUCAUAGCGAGACAAAUAAGAAUUGGUCUUGUCUUUUACGCGGCGGCUGUACUGUUGGGUCUGGGAAUAUUCCUUUAUUUCAGUUAUUACAAAAAUUUGGCAUGAUUGGUUACUGUAAUACUUUUUCAUUUUUUAUGCUACGUAGCAUAUAAUUAUUCCUUUGUUUUACUAUAUGUAUGUAUGCCCUCUACCCCUACAAGAUGGAAUUCCUUUUCCGUUAAGGAUUAUACAGUUUUUUUUUUUUUUUUUGUUUCAGAUAAAUUCUAGCCAUGGGAGAUAAUCUAAUUUGAGGUGUCAAACAUUAAAUGAGUGUAGUUAUCCUUCAAACAUUAGUUCGCCCACGUAGUGUAGCCAUACCCAUAGGUAAUGAGUAAAACCAUACAUUGCAAAUACAAAACAAACGUGGGAAUUGAUGGAUACAAAAAUACUACAGAUAAAAUAUUUUGAAGAAAAUAAAUACUACUAUUGGUUAUAAAGCUGGAAAGUGUCACUAUUUACAUGGCAAAGUAGUUACAACUGUCAGACAUGUCAACCCUCAAAGCCGACCACCUCAGUGGCAGAAUUAUUUUACAAGUUAGAACAACACAUGUUUGCUAUUUAUAAGCUGUCAACAAUGAUUAUUUUUGUGCCCACCUUUUCUUUUUCAACAGUAAAGUAGGUAAAAACUAAGGUGUAUUCCUCAAAAAACAGAAAACUCAGGUGAUAUUAAGAAGUGAUGUGUUGGCUUCAUAGAAAUAAGUUUUACUGAAACCUUCAGACAAUUAUCACCAGCCUCCUUCUUCCUUUAUCUUGUUCUUUUCUCCCUUCCAAACAAAAGCUCAUAUUAACUGUAUCAUUUCUGGUAUAUAAUGGAUGUGAAAGUAAUUUUAAUUGUCAGGAAAAGAAGCGUGAAGAUGAGAUGUUUUCUCUACAGUUCCAGCAGCAAGACAGCAAACCAAGCAUUCCUGUCUCCACAGGAUGUCCAAUGUCCCUUUCUCGCUUGUGUAGCACUCUGACAAACUCAUCUGUACUUAGGUUUCCGUCUCGAUUUGUAUCAAACAAAUGAAAAACAAUCUCAACCACGUUGUCCGAGAGAGAUAUGCCGCAAACCUGAAAUUGAAACGAAUAAAAUAUGAACUUACUAUCUCGGCCAUAUAAUCUAAAUCAAAUUUUUUUUUAAAAAAAAUGAAGGAUAUAUAAUUGGGGGAUAAAACAGUUAACCCCUAAACAUCACUAUUAAGUUAAGCAUAAAAACAAUGGUAAACUCCUGACCAAAAACAAAAAAAAACAAUGGUAAACUUCAUACAUGUGACGCUGCUCGCUGAAAAUCAUCUCUCGUCAACAGGCCAUUUACUUUUCCAAAACUGAAAAGGGCUAAUGAUAAUGGAAGUAACUUUUUCCGUAGCUCUGCGAAGUUUUUGAAAUCCUCAAAUCUGAUGCGGACAUCCUUAAAGCAUGGCUCAUUAUUCAGUUCAUCAACCCGUUCAAGCAACUUGCCUAGAUGACUCAUGUCGGCGGAAGCAACCAUGGAGAGUGCAAAGUCCUUGGCUGAAAUUGCUUUUCGAGAUUUGUAGUCAUAAUGAUCAAACUCCAGUCUGAGAAUCUACAUAAAUAUCGUACAUUGUCAUGGAAAAUCACUUCUGUGACCAUUGUAAAAAUUAAUAUUUAUAGCAAAUCAAAAGGAAUCUUAUAUCCAUAUGAAGUUUAUAGUAUGAAUAUUCACACAAGAGAAAUACUAGCAGAAUACUCUUCGUCACACAUUCUUUAAAAAAUUAUUCAUUUUCUAAAAAUACAAUUUAAUUUCCUCGUUAAUAGAUCAACUUCUAAUUAGUAUGGCGACUUUUUUAAAUCUUAAAGAAUGUACCAUAUUAAAAUAUAUUUGGGAGUCUUGCUACACUAGUUUAUGUAGAAGCAUAUGCUUCAAGUAUCUUGUUAAAUUGAAACCAUGUGUAAUGGCAUCAUGCAGACUUCUAAGCAUUUUCACUUCCCUUUUCCUUGUCUUUCCUUUUCUACAAGAUCAAUGUAAAUAUAAAAGAUAUCAUGUCAAGCCUACACAUGCAACUACCAUAACUGACAAGCGUGGUUCCAGAUAAUUGCAAACAAUAAGAGUUCUUAUAACAAUCACUGAUUAUAUACAGAAGCACAUACGAGUUUUCUCAGUUUUAAUGCUACUAUCACAGGUAACAACUGCCACAAUGUUGAUAAUAAUAUUAUAAAACAUAAAAGAAUUCAAGGAUUUUCAAUGAACAAUUAUUAAAAUUGCUGUCCCCUGCAGCGUGUGAAGCCCAAUUUUUACAGAAUUAAACCUUAACAUAGAUAUACAUAGUAAAACUUCAUUGCUUGAUUUAAGUUUGGUACAGAAAAAAUACUUAGAUAUGACUUCAUCAUUUUUUUAGCCCAUAACACCAGAAUAAUUUGAUUUUAUCAUACCCCAUAUCUCUUUUUUAUUCCUUCUUUGGAUAAAAGAAAGAGAAGAGCUUACAGUGCAUUUGGAAGAUAAAGAAUCCUCCCUAACAUAAGAGCAAAACACCAGAGGGUAGAAGCUUGUGUAGAGCCAAAGCCUAGUCC
This 71563-nucleotide long non-coding RNA is filed under the name Medicago truncatula (barrel medic). RNAcentral's name for it is "long non-coding RNA (MTRU_LNC005401)". Lineage: Eukaryota; Viridiplantae; Streptophyta; Magnoliopsida; Fabales; Fabaceae. The record is from RNAcentral.